This 50286-nucleotide long non-coding RNA is filed under the name Aquilegia coerulea. Its description in RNAcentral is "long non-coding RNA (ACOE_LNC001882)". The record is from RNAcentral. Lineage: Eukaryota; Viridiplantae; Streptophyta; Magnoliopsida; Ranunculales; Ranunculaceae.
UUUAUAUGUCUAUUUGUUUCUUCAUUCGAGGUCUUUAUGCAUCUAUGUUGUAUCAUAUCUCAUAACAGUUUCUCUGAGUUCCCCCAUAACUAAAAAUAAAUUGACGAAAUUUUCUUAUAUGGUCAAUAUUGACCAAAAAUGGUUUCUAUAUAUAGCUGGCCUUGUUUAGCUCCAAAAAAUUAGAAAAAUCUUACAUCCAUCCCUAUGAAGUUCUAUAAUAUUACAGUUUCGAGAAUUUUAAAUUACAGCCCCAAGCCUACAUAUUCCCCUAGGCACGGCUUGAGAGUUGAUUCCUGAUCCGCAAAAGAUGCUUAACCCUCAAUUAUGAAUGCCUGUGUUCUGGUCAAAUAGCAAAGUUAAUGAUGUUUCCUUGAAUCCCUUCUACAAAAAUAUACUCUUCUCUGAUCUUCAAUAUGAAACAUCCAAAAUACUGUUAAUUUGUAACCUAUUCGUCCCCUGUUAAGCGCUAGAAGUACUAGUUGAUUUUAUCGUAAAUGGUUGAUAUAGCUUCAUAUUCCUUUAAUGAAGAAACAACCAGAACUUUGAGGAUAUUAACUCUUAAUAACAUGAGAACUAAGAUGGAGGAUAUUUCCUGAAUGUUUUUUCAGAAGUCUGUAAGUUCAAUAGAAAGUUGAAACUGUCUUUUUCCAUCAAAAUGUAAACAAUAGUUGCUUCUUUGUCCACCAAUCAGAAUGCGAUUAUUUCUGCACCAGGGAAGAGGGCUUAAAAGCCUCUUCGUUCAAUAAGAUACACUAGACGGUUUCUGAUAUAAUUGGGAUGCCCCAACUCCUCUUUUGAUAAUUCAAAUAAGCUACAAGCAUUAAAACUUUUUUCCCUCCUGUAGUUUCAUUAGAUUUUUGUUAUGAGAUCUCAGAAACUUUCUGAUCUUGGGUUUCAUACGCAUGUUUUUCGGGAGUUGACGCAUAAUUAUGCAAUUAUUUGCUUGGAAAGCAUGAUUCCUCUCACUGACCAGAUAUGUUUAUGGACCCAGGAUAUCCAGACAUCUAGUGUAUUUUUUAUUUGAUGUAACAGGACACUGUUGAGUUAAUUGGAGAAUUUAUAUUGAACUCAAAGUCAGAACCUGAACCAAAGACAUUUCAACCAAUUUGGUUACUUUAAUUUUAUUAUGUGCACUCUUUUAUGAUUAUCAAACUGAGAGUGGUUUUUCUCUAGGUGCCAAGAAAGACGGCAGCAGCGUCCAUUUCUUUCAUAAAACAACCAAAGCAUAUGCAACUGGUCAUCGCAAGCGCCGCAAGAUCCAUGAUCAAUCUAGUUCCACAGAGGAGCAAGUCCGUUGGCACAAGACAGGGAAAACCAAGGCUGUGAUAGAGAAUGGGAUUCAGAAAGGAUGGAAGAAAAUUAUGGUUCUCUACAAAAGUUCCAAGAAGGGCUUGAAGCCAGAUAAAAUUAAUUGGGUGAUGCAUCAGUACCAUCUGGGGAUCACAGAAGAUGAGACUGACGGCGAGUUUGUGGUAUCAAAAAUUUUCUACAACCAACUGUCCAACCAGACUCCCAUCAUUGAAGAAGCAGUACCUCUGGUAAACCGAGCUGGUCCGACCACCCCAAAUAUGUAUACCCCUAAUCCACCUCGACGAGGAAAACGGGCUUUAGUUGAUGAGAUUGAUGAAGAACACUUGCACGACUCAAAAUUUACCAUCCUUGACCAGAUUGAUGAAGAACAUUCACAGAAAUCAGCCAUGCAGGUAUAUUCUGAAAACUUAUCUAGUUACUGCUUAAUAGAAAAUGCUCUGCUGUUUGAGCCUGUUAAAAUGCCUACAAGUUCCAGUUAGACUGCUCAGGCUCAGCUGAUGGGAUGCCGCUUUGGACUCUGAUUUAGGCUGAAAAUAAAUCUGUGAAUGAUUAGUAUGCUCCCACCAUUCAGGUGAUUGCAGCACCUACAAUUUUUUACCAUGACCACGUAAAAACUUGGCUCAUCUCUAAUGAGCUGUGUAUAAUGGCCAUGGCCUGUUAAUUAGAUGGCUAAAGUAAUAAACCUUUAUCAUACUGAGCAAGUGGCUGUUCAAUUUAAAUCAAUAUAGCAGGAGUUUACAUGGCCGAGUAUAAUAUUUCAUCUUCAAACAACUCGCUUGUGUCCCAAGGUUUAGUGUGCAACUUACUAUCCAGAGAUCAAGUAUCAGUCUGUCUCAAGUUUAAGUUUCUAUGGGACGACAAGUAUAUUUACGUCAGUUUCUAAAAUUUAUUCAACAGACCCUCUUUACAUUUUACAAAAACAAUGAUUGACUUGUAGUUGUAACCAUGUACUUUUACUAAGAUGACUUUGUGAUGCUCAUAAAAAUUGGCCAUUCUAGUAAAUAACAAUGGUGUUACUCUGGUAGCAUAUUGCUGCAUGUAAUACCAUGCACUAGAAUGAUUGUUGAAGUUUUAAAUGUACUUUCACUCCAAAUUUGUCUGAGUCUGUAGAAUCUUAAAGGAACCUGUUUAUUUUGAAUAGGUUGCAGAACUAACACUGGAAGCACAUCAACCAACUCUGGCAGUUGUUCGUUCUGAGGAUGAAGAUGAGAAGGGGGAUCCUCUAUGGUUGGCUGGGGAAUCUCAAUUAGCUGAGGACCUCAAUAACGAUUUGGAUAUGACUCUAUUUUGCGAUGAGAAUUUUGCGUAUACUCCCCUAAAUGAGAUAAAUGAGUUUGGUAUUAAAGAUAAUCCGUUCUCGUCUCCAGGUUCUAACAAGAAUGAUAUCUUAAAAGGAGAUUCUGAGACAGACUGGUUUGCGGACCUAGGAAAACUAGAAUUUGGAACAGCAUCAGAUCUUGUAGUAAGUUUCAUCUCGAACUUCUUUUUACUUAAGUGGAUGUGUCAAUGUACCAAUUGGGUGAUUUACCUACCGCAACAGCAUAUAAGUGCAUAGAGUGGACUUGCAGGAUAGUUGGACCUAUCGUUUAAAGUACUUGCUCUAAUGCCUUCCUACAAGUUCACCCUGUGAAUACGUGUCACUUAGAACAGUCUUGGUUGGUCUAGCUUAUCCAUUAUUUUCUAUAAAUUUGCUAUUUGGUAAGGAUUGUACUUCAGCCAGUGUAAUUCACUUUUCCUAGCUACCAUUUUCAGGAUUGGCGGUUCGGUUCUCAGGAUUUACGAAUUGGUUCUCAAGAAAGCAUUUCGACUUGGUUCGAUGGAGUUUAAAGAGGAAGUUAAUGGAGUAAAGCUCAUUAUUAAGGAUAUAAUGGAGGCCAAAUUUUGUUGCAUCCCAGGUCUCUUUGGUUUUCUUCUCUGUAGGCAGUCUUGGCCCCAGAAAAGGAAGUGGAAGCGAAAGAUGCAAGUGCUCAAGUACUUCUGCUUUUCCUAAGCUUUUAAAGUCUCUAGAGCUCUAUGCAGGAAGGUGAUGAAAAAAUCUUAUUCUAAUGCUUUAAGGGUAUGACUCUGACGCGGCAAUGCUUACAAUCUUAAAUGUUCUGGCAAUUUUGGUGAAAGUUGGUGAAAGGAACUGAGAUGCAUUCAGAACCAUCUAUUGAGGCAGUGCUAUCAUUGGCCCAAGUCAGAGCAGCUUGAUUCGGAUUUCUUCAAUAACAUGCAAAGCACCCCUAGUAAAGUUCCCUCUAUGUUAGCUUUAUUGAGUAUGAUUAUGACUACAACUUCCAUAUAUAUGGACAACUAACUGAACAAAUGGGUGUAAUGCUUAUGGUGAUGAACAGUUAUGUUUUUCUCUAACAGUGCAUUUUCUAUAUAUGUAAGUAGAUGUUACUAUGAGCAUCAUCUAGCUACUACUUCAUAAAUAAAAGGUUAUGGUGAUAUACUGUAAUGGUUAUGGUGAUAUACCUGGAGUGUUUAUAAUCACAUAGUUUGAAAGGCAAGUCUAUAGAGCAUGGACUCUUUAUUCUUUAAGCAGCAUUGUAAAGACAGGAAUUUUGAUGGUUGAGAAAUGGCAAGUAAAUUCUGGCUUUGAAACCAUAAUGAUGCUCUAGUAUUUAUGAAAAAUUUAGACAGUAAUAUUACUCCCUAUUUUCAGAAUAUAAACACCCAUGACGAGUAUGUUCAGCUAUGACGGGUGGACGUCAAUGCUAAGGACUGCCAGGCACAUCAAGGCCAUUAGAGAUGCAACUUUGUGUGCCAUAAGUUGUUCCUAAAUAUUUUGCUCAGAAAAGAAGUCUGCCAGACUCCUUUACCCACAUAGCAGCCUGCUUGCCUGUGACCAUUUCAUUUGCAAUUUAUCUAGCAGUGGGAAGAUAACAAAGUGCCAAGGUUAACAGAUACAGGAAACCAACAAAAAAAAAUAUCUUCACCUGUCAAUUGACAGUAAUAUUCUUCUACCUGAGUAUUGAUCUCGAUUUUGUAUCAUCAUAGAUACUGUUGCACACCUGUCAAAUUAUCAUUUUUAUUUCUCUUUUUCUUGUUCUGAUUUUGAAGCUUACCUUUUACUAGGUAUGAAAACAAGAUGCAGAACCUUGAAAAAAAAUAGAGGCAAUAAACCACUAAAACUUCCAAGGGCAAACUAACAUAUGAUUCGAAGUCCUUGUACCCUCUUCCAUUACUAUUAUCAUCCUAACACUUAACAAUUGACAGAUAAAAAGAAAAUUACCAUUCGGUUUACAAGAUCUAAUUCAUUUUGCCAAUAAGUAUUCUGAAAUGUUCCUGAACAAUGCAUGGAUGGAUUUUGAAUUAAUAAGCGAGUAUACCCUGAUAAACACAUAUAAACAUGGCAACACAUAGAUUGUCCUGACUAUAUAAUAACACUGCACAACCUUCCCCAACUUCAAUGCAAAAGGUAUUAAUCGCUAACAGCCACACACAUAAUUUAACCAUUUGGAAGAGAUACAAACUGCACAAUCUUAAAUGAAAUUGGUGAGGAACGGUUAGACUUAUCAUUGAAUAAAAAUGAAAACACUAAGAACAAUUCCAACUCAAGAGACAAGAUCGCAACGAGUUUAAGAAUAUAAUUCAGUUAGUCUAAAGGAAAACAAAAAUUCCUCGCAUACAAAAUCUCAGUUUUUCUAUUCAUUUUCUUUUCCUGUUUAGCAUAAGGGGAUCAUGUCAUACCGAAGAUAAGUUAUAGCCUUGCUUUCCACACCUAUUAGUUGUCCCCUUCAUUUAUAGCAAGAUCCUCAUUUGGCAAGUAUAUGUGCCUCCACCGCAAUUGAAACUGAACACAAGAAAGAGUUCAAUAUACAAAGUCCCGUUCACGAUGCGUAGGAUCUUAUAGCCUAUUUUGCCAAAUCUUGCUAUAAAGAAUGCUCUAAAUUUAGUCAGAUACAUGGCCUGUCCUACCAGUACCACACCAAACUCGUCACUGAUUUGUCAAAGGCUUCCCUGCAUAUAAAACACGCUCCACCUCUAACCUUUAUAUAAAGCUUCAAUAGAAACAUUCAGAGUGAUCUAGCCACUCUCCCUUUGGCAAUUUCCAGGCAAGAGAUAUUUAUACUUGUCAGCAUUCUCCAAAAGAUAGGCAGGAAGAUGAACCCCCGAAUAUGUAGGAGGAAUGGGUCCCAACUUUCCAAUGAUCUCUUUAAAGGUGUACUCUUCGGGAAGCAUGUCAAAAAGGUCGGACCCUUUGCAGAUCACGUCCUGAAUCCUUUUUGGAUUUAAAUAAUGUGAGAACCUCACCCGAUCAUUGUGGCUAUAUGCUUUCAUUUUAAAAAUGAAUUCACUAACAUGACGGAAGCAAAAGCUACAAUGCCACCCUGAAUCUGCAAGCAAAACAUCAGCCUGUCUAAAAUGUCCAUAUCUCGUUACACCCUUCUGAUACCUAUGCACUGAAGCUCUCCAGCUCUUAGUAUCCAUGAAAAACUCAAAAGAGUACAAGUAAUUCUUAAGCUGAAGAUGGAGGAUUGGAGGAGUGUCAUCACACCAUCGCAGGAGAUUAAUUGUGUGACCGCUAGGAAUCUCAUCAACAUCAGACAUUAUCAACAAGUCAUCAUCUGUAAUACCUGCUAUUCUUAGAAGCUGGUCCAGCACCACGCGCUGAUAUGCUUCCUCAACAAAUGGGUUUUCCCCUUUUCUAAACCUUCCACCGAUUGUUCCGUAAGUCAGACGAUUCUCAACAAACUUAAAUUGAUCUUUAUGGAUAGAAAAAUCUAGUGGCUUUGGUAUUCCACUGAAUGUUGAAUUUGAUUCCAACAGAACAAACUGAGUGAUGUACGGAUACAACUCCUUCCAUCUGAUAGAAAGGAUGUCCAACUCAUUGCUGAACAACACCGCAUCAAAAACUCGUCUAGGGGAUUCACGGAUUCCCCACCCAUGAAGCUUACACAAAUGCUCCAUCGACACAUUCUCAUGGUAAUAGUGUGGAAUCUCAUGGAAAGGUUUGGGAGGUUUUUCCCAGAUUGGCCGUAGAAAGUAUGUGAUCUUCUGCCCAUGCAAAUAAAUACCCAGGAUGCAGGUUGGAACAAUGACGAAUAGAAAGAGAUAAGAUUUAAAAUCUAAACCUCGGAGAACACAUCGAAGUCUUGACAUGCUAAAAGCCGCACGAGCCUCCUGAAAAUAAACAAAAGUUUGAUAAGAAACCACAACAAUAGAUAGAUAGAUAGAUAAUUUUUCCCUUUACACAAACAAUGAUAUUCCAGGCAGAAUCAACUAAAACCUAAAACAUCAGAAUCAUCGAUUAACCUUAUAAACUAACCAUUUCAUACUUGAUCAAAAGUUGAGAGAAAUCAAAUUUCCAGUUACAGAAAAACACCAUUUUCCGAUACCCAAUUCUAAAUUAAGCAAUAAAAACAUCAAUUCUCAAGCACCCUUGAUAUGCAUUAUAUUCAAUUUCAUAAGCAAAUUCAAAACCAACUACUGUAUGCAAAUUCCUCCUCAAUGUAAAGCAAUCCCAAACUACAAACAAAUAUGUUUUCAAACAAUUUAGGCUUUUAAGUAAACAAAAUCAUCAAACAAAUCAAACCCAUUUCUUAUUAACCUAAAACAAACCAAAAUCAAACAUACCCAAAUAAAAAAAACCACUGAAAAUGCAAAAACAGAUCGACAAAUGUUAAAAAAUUGAGAAAAUUUACCUGCCCACAAACAUCUUCACAUAUAUCAUCAGACUUCUUAGAACAAUAAUAUCCACCUUCAGGCAUCAUUAAUAAGCAAAAUGAACACUCUUUUAUAUCUCUUUUAUGUCUUUUCGUGUUCUCUUCACUCUCCUCCUAUUUCUUCUUCUUCGAAAACUAUAAUAAUAUAUAUAUAUAUAUAGAAACUAAUAAUCUUCAAAAUCUACGAAAAGGGUAGACGCGUUAUUAAGAAAAAAUUGAAGAAAACGCGGCGAUCUUUUGGUUUUAAUGGAGUUUAUUCAUUCAUUCAUUCUUCUUCUUUCUCUCUUCUCUUGUGUUGAAACGGCAAUUAUAGCCGUUUGGUUGAGUGUUUUUUUUUUUUUUUCUUUGAUAAGAUAAAAGAAAAACAAAAGAGAGAAAGAGAAAAAAGCCAGAAAAAGUACAGCUUUUAAAAACCCUAAAAAUUACUAUUUUUUUUUAUUUUUAACUAAUUAUUAAAAAAUUAUUUCUUUUUCACCAAGAAAAAUAUUAUUAAUAACUAUGUUUAGAAAAAAUAAUAUCUGUUGCCUCUCUGUAUGGUCGUAUGGAUGGUAGUUACAAGGUUUUGCUUUUUAUAAACCCUAAUUUUUAUUAAUUUUGGUAAAUUACUAAUAUUACCCUUGAUAUUUUGUGAUGAUUUUGAUUAGAUAUAGGGUAUUUUAGGAAAUGUGAAUUUGAGGUUGUAAAUGUUUUACACGGUUAUUGACUUGGUCAAGUCAAGAAAUAUAACCUAAGACUUAUUAAGACUAAUUUGAUCUAUAAAUGACUGAGUGAAGUUAGUCAAGUCUUCUUGAGUGCUCAUAGACUUUUUAUUUAUCUUAAAAACUCACUACAAAUUGGUCAUUAGAUUUGUGAGUGAUGUUGGUAUGUUGAGAAAGAUAAAUAAAUUUGAUUCAUUUCUGACUUGAACCAUUCAAUAUCAUUUGUUGAUCAUUUGUUGAUUAUAGAUCAAAUUAUGCAUUAUGAUUUGACUUUGUAUGUUUGUUUGAGGACCGCGUAAAUUACUUUUGUGAAUGUCCUUGAAGAGAUAUGUGAUUAGGUAAUCCCUUUAACAAUCGUUAUCAAUCCUCACUUUUAGAAACGAAAAUGUAUGGACAUAUGAACAAUAUUAUCUAAAAUCAAUACUAAAUAUUAAAAAAAAAAAACGUUAUUUUCUUAAUCGUGAAAUCAUGUUAGGAUGUUAGGGUGCUCGCUCGAGACCCAUAUAUUGUAAAAAAAAAAAAAAAAAAAAAUCAAAUGGCAGGAUUUUUGGUAUAUUAAGUGAAGAUGAAUUAAGCAUUGAGCUUAUAGAUAGAUAGGUUUAUUAUUAUCUCAACUUCCCACCAUAGGAAAUGGAUGAUGGAGAAAAAGUGGAGGUCAUUGUUACACAGUUUCUUUCAAGUAUAGGAAUGAUUCCAAGGUGAUUCAAAGUAAAUAGAAUUAAUAUUCCUUAAAUGGUUUGAUAGGGAAAAUCUUGAUUGAGUAGUACAACUUUGAGCUUCUUUAAAUGUAAAACAACAAUGGGAUAGAGACUUUGAAUGAAUUUAUUCUUAUCUCACCAAAACAACAUUAAUAACAACUCAAAGGGGAUAUUUCUUAAGAUUAAUGUAAAAAGACCAAAGAUUCAAACAAACAUGAUACAGUUCUUAGGAAUAUUAUGUUUCAUCUGCCAUAUAGUAUUGCCAAGUGUAUUUUUUAUUUUUUGGGUAUAGCCAAAUGUAUUGAUUCUGGGCAUUUUUUAUUUCUAAUUUCUAUUCUUGGUGACUAAGGGCACAUGUUCUAGCUUCUGUCUCUGGACUGCUAUGGGAUUAGGAUAUUCUUUUAAAGGAACUAUGUUUUAUUCUUUUGGUAUAUCCAUCAUCAUAAUUAUAAAUAAAAGUCAUGGAAAUAUAUAAAAUACUAGGUUUUAUUAGUAUCCAUUACCUGCUAUAUCACUAUCCCUUCUGCAUUUCAAAAUCAAUCUACUAUGAAAAUCAUUUUCCCACAACAUAAAUGAUUGAUUUGAAUGAACAAUUCCUAUCAAAUUAUCAAAUGUAGCACUAAGGGAUCAUUUAUACUCGGGUUAUUUUGUAUUUGGUCCCUUUAGAAGAUGGGUAAUUAACAUUUGGUCUAAUCUUUAUCGUUUAUUAGUAAAUGGUCUCAUUUUCGUCACUUGACUGUCAGUCAACCCAGUUGACCAGAGUCAAGGCAUUCGUAUUUUCUUAAUGACCAAACUACCCUUUCAUGUGACUAGCACGUGACAAAACUUAAAACUAAAAAAAAACCAUUUAGUUGUUUGUAAACAUGCAAAAUUGGUUUAUAGUCCUCAUUUUUCAUAUUUCGUUUUAAAUAUAGUCCCUGUAAACAAUAAUGGAAAUAACCAUGAAAGUUAUCUUACCGAAUUGAACUUGAACAUGUAACCACCACCCCUGGAAUGUCUAGAAUUUCUUUCACUUGAUUACCAUUGUCACUUGUAAAGAAGAGAAUAAACUUUUAAAUGUUCCAUGGGUGGUGGUUAUAUGUUGUACUUCACUCCAACUAAGGUAAGAUAAUUUCAAUGGUUAUUUUCAUUACUGUUUAGUGUUUAGAGGGACUAUAUUUAAAACGAAAUAUUAAAAAGAAGGACUAUAAACUAAUUUUGUAUGUUUACAAUCAAUUAAAUGGUGUUUUUUGAGUUAUAAAUUUUGUCACGUGCUAAUCACGUGAAGGGUAGUUUGGUUAUUAAAAAAAUGUGGAUGUUUUGACUCUAGUCAACUGGGUUGACUGAUAGUCAAGUGACGAAAAAAAAGACCAUUUACUAAUAAACGAUAAAGAUUAGACCAAAUACUAAUUACCCAUCUUCUAGAGGGAUCAAAUACAAAAUACCCUUUUAAACUCCACAUGCCAAGUUGACAGUGGCUAAAAUAAGAAGGUUGAAACUUGAAAGCAUUCCUUCUAAGUUCCAUCCAUAUAUAUAUAUAGAGAGUUUGAAUUUGUUCUGGAACAACACUCUCCACCAGAUUUUGACACGUACUAAUAACUUUUUUUUUUUUUUUAAUUUAGCUGGUCCCACUAAGGUUAACAGUACCAUCUUAAUGUUUUAGUUUUUUAAUUAAUCUUACUUAAUAUUAAAAAAAAAAAAAUCAAAUUUUUUAUUUUUUAAUAUAGCCACCUGGCAAGAUCUGGGGAGAGUAUUGUUCCAAACUCUUAAAGAGUGGAACAAAUUCGCACUCUAGUCUCUAUAUUCACCACUCUCUUUCUAUUCAAGCCAUCACCAUUCAUCUCACCUUCCAAGAAAGUUCUACUCAGAACAAUGUGUAUUUCAAUUUUGUUUCUGCCAAGUGUCAAAUAUAGUAUACUAGCUACUGUUCAUCAUAUUGCAUGCAAACAAGCAUAUUCUCUGGAAUAUAUAUAGAGUCUUUGUUUUCUAAAUGAGGUCUUCUCUAACUCUAAAGUCAAGAGAAAGUUACUUAGAAAUGUUUGAUUUUGAUGUGCAUGAUCUUUAUCAUUAAUAUUUUGUUUUUGUGAAUAAGAGAAAGCCUCCUCAUGAGUCAUGACUAUUUCUAUUCCAUUUUCUUUGUUGUCACCUUCCAUUUACCAUACCAGCAGUCUAUUUCUCUCUUUUAUAUUUUCUCUAGCUAUGAGUCGUGUUCUUUUCAAAGUUAUCAAGUGUCCAUAUCUCUUUAUAAAAAAAAAAAAAAAAACAAAAAAAAGUGUCCAUAUCUAAAAACAGACAUAGUUGAUUAAAUUAAACCAUAUGAAUUAUAUUAUUAACUUAUGCCCACAUUGGCCAGCAAUUUCUAUGGUAGUGAAGAAGAUGGACAUCUUUGUUUUCUUCCAAUUCACAAUAGUCAUAAUUUUGUUCUCAAAACAAUAAUGAAUAUGGUACAUAGGUUCUAAAAUAUGUUAAAGCAAAAUGAAUUCUAUCCAACCAUUUAAUUAUUGGUGUAAUGUAACAUUCUUUUUUGCUAGUAAUCAAAAAGAUUGAGAAAAGAUCUCAAGCUUCCUUCCCACAAAGAGUCCCAUUUUCACAGUUUCACCAAUGCUUGAGCUCAUGACCAUCUGAUUUAUUUAUCUCAGAUUGUUAGAGGUCAAUGAAAUAUGGAUAAAGGGUCAUCUGAUUUUAUUUCAUGAAUUUAUAUUAAUUGUAGUAUGUCCCUACUGUUGUCUCUUAACUUAUUUGAUCCAUUAGAUAUUAGGGUUGACAGAAGACUCCAAUAUAAUGUUUUCCACUUUCUACAUUACAACCAAAAGGAAAGAUGUUUCCUAGGUGAUUAGUGAUUACUAAGUUAUACAGUAGUCUAGUUUCAUUUAAGAAAGGAUUAGAACCAGUUAUUUAUCAUUGUUGUAAUCAGUAACUAUAGCUUAUUAGCUGUGGAUGUCCAGUAGUAUAUAGUUUAAUUUCUAUGUAAAUCUUUUAAGCUGCAAUAUCUUUUGUUAAAUCAUCCAAAAGUACUACUACGCGGUAGUGGUUUUAGUGUUUGUCAUUUAAUUUUUUUUUAAAUAAAAUCCAAUAACAAAAAAACAAAUUGCAAAGCAUAAGCAUGAUAAAAUUGCAUAUCCGAACAAAAUAUUACGCGUAAUUUUGACUUUGCUAAAAGAAUACAAAUUUAAUUUUUUAUUUUUUUUUAUUUUUUUUUUUAAAAAAUGCGUGAGUAUAUUACAUAUAUCUACAUUAUCUUGGGACCGCGAUGUAUCAUUGCAUAUAUAAUUCUUAUACAAUACCUUAUUUUAUUUUUUUUACAUAAUUGGUUAUUCUAAGAGGUAGAACUUGUAAUAAAUAAAUUGUUUUUUUUUUCUUUCUCUUUUGUUUAACCAUUUAGCAACCAAUAUAUAUAUGAUGUAACAUUCAUGCUCCAAAAGUCCAAAGCAAUAACUUUAAGAAGUGUUCAUAGCUACGUACUGUAUUCCUAUAACUUCUAAGAUUACAUGAUGCUGCUUGGCCUUUGCUUGAUUACAUACAACACUACAGCAGUGAAAGACAAGGCAUUGACCUGCACAAAGUGAAAAAGACCCAGGUCAAUAGGUCAUCAAAGUCUACUUGCAAACUUCAUUGACAUCAUAAGGCCGGCAAUAUCAUAACUUCAUUAACCAUGCUCAAACUCAAAUUGAAUAAACAUAUACGUACAGUAUGUUUACUGAUGUGAAACAUAUACACAAAGCUUAGGCCAACCUGGCCCAGAUAAUAACACACUUUUAGGCUUUAUCCCUCAAUUAGAAGUUAGAACUAGGCUAGUAUCUAGUAUUUGUUUAUUUUAAUUGUAAACAUCGAGCACCAUAACUUUAAAAUCUGUUUAGAAAACAUACAACUCUUUUAACAAUAAAGUAUGAAUGAAGCCAAAUAGUAUUUCGAUUAAGUCUAGACAUGAGUACUAAGUACAAAAAUUAUAGACAAUUAAGUAGGGGUUUUGCCUGGGAUUUAGCAGUUAAGUUGGUGGCUUAUGUUGUAUCGAGUUUCUUAAAAACUUUGUCUUAUAGAUUGGAUUUAUAUUAAUCUUCUUCCUGAUUGAUCACAUUCAAAGUUAUCAUUAGUUUAUAUACUUAUACAUUUUUGGUAGGUAUUUUAUGGAGCAGUGUGAAUUAUACAAAUGCCUAAUCCAGAGUUCAUCAUUAUAAUACAAAACAAUGGGACAUAAUUGGUCUGAUUGCUGCAAUAACCUCCACUAUACAGUCCCAUCCCAUGAAUUCCUGCAGCGCGAUGGGUGGGCUGGGAGCCAACAUCUGGGUCAGCACUACUGGUUUGAGAUCCCAAUCCCAAGAGGAUCCAGUUUAGUCCUCACACAGUAUAGAACUAAACUGAGGCAAUUCCAGUUGACAGGAAGAAGAUAACCAACGCUGUCCCAGUUGUACAACCGGAAUGUCCAUCGAAAGUCAUUUGCUUUGCAAUCUUCCUUUAAAAAUAAGGAUGAAACCUGACAGCCUUUUGGCUUCCCUGCAGCUAAUUUGCUGCAUUCCAUUCCUGGGCCUUUGGAACCUCAAUAAAAAGGAAUGUAUCAAAGCUGUGUAUAUAGUAUAUACUAUUUAACUACUUUGAAGGGAAUCUAGGGUAACAAUGGGCAGCACCACUUGGUUUUUCUUUGUAAAACAUGGAAUGUGCCUGAAAUGUGUUUCUGCACAUGUAGAAAUGUAGUCACUAGUCAGUUAUAUAUAUAGUAACUUUGCAUCUUCUUUAUAAAAAGGAAUAGAAUACUGCAAGAGUGCAAUGGCCAGAAAGUUGGCUCACUGAUUCAUGGGUACAAUUACAAAGUAUAACUUUCUUUCAGUAUCAAACAAGUAGGAUCAGGUCUGGACUGGCUUGCGUUGCUGUUUGUUAGGGGUAUUUUGGGUUGGGUUUAAGAAAGAAAAACAUGGCCUGGGCUUUUACAAAAAACGAACUGCUGAAGCAUCAAGCAUCUUAACGUUUUGCUUAAGGUCCUGGCAGAGUGGAUGGGGAGUUGCUCCCCACCCCAGUUUGGCGUGUCUCAACACUUUCCCUGCCUGUGAGUAUGAGUGUUGUCAGCUCGGUGACAACAUCAAGUAGUUAAAGCCACCACUUCAUGAGUCCACCAAAUAUUCCCUUGUGACCACCGUAACUGAAUAAUCCUAACUGUCCUACCCAAGAUUACAGCCUUACAGGCAGAUGAUAUGCAUUUGUCAUGAGCCGUGACCAUCAAAGAACUAACAUUAUUGUUCUGAGGGAUUAGUAUUACAAGUUCACCAUUUUUUUGCCAAGGUAUAAAUCUCCCAGAUGUGACUCAUCAUUGAAAUAUCCAACCCAUCAUGUUUGAGCUCUUGCAUCUCAAUUAUUGCUAGAUUCCUUUUAUGAUAGCAUUCUGGUUGAAGACUGCAACUUGUACCUGAAAAGAUACCAAACUCGAUCUCUAAGGAUUACCAAUAGUCAUUGCAAGAACAAGAACCCUCUUUAAAAUGGUGGAAGCGGUUACGGUCCCUCACAAUAAUUUCUCUAUGGAAAACCUUUGAUAUCAUCUUUGUCGCAUUAUGACAAUCAGUACACAUUCUGAGAUUCUUUGAGAUCCUUAUUGUAGUUCCAGGAGAAGUUCUGAUAAGACCAAAGGCAAUGGCUAACUUCUCACUAUGAUGAGACACUGAUGCUUCCUUAUCAUCUUCCUCUGCAUCAAACCUUGCCUCUGCGGUGUUAGGGACAUAACCGCUGGACUUGAUUCGCUUCAUCAUGUUCUCAACUGCAUCAUAUAUCUCACUUGAUCUAGGGUGAGCAUUGUCCUCGGCAAAGAACUCAUGUAUUGCCCCAUCUAUCUCAAUCAAACUGCAUCCUGGAGUCUUCUUCAUUCCCUGCAACUUCAUCUGACACCUUGCCCUUAAUGCAUCCUCCCACUUUCCUACUGAUGAAUAAAUAUUCGACAUAAGUACAUAAUCCCCACUAUUCUUGGGAUCCAACUUAACAAUAUGAUUAAAUGAUUUCUCUCCAAAUUUGAUAUUUUUGUGAACCUUACAUGAAGCCAACAAUGUUCUCCACACAACGGCGUUGGGUUCCAUUGGCAUACUCUUUAUGAACUGAUAUGCCUCUUCAAUCAAACCAGCUCGAGCAAGAAUAUCAACCAUGCAACCGUAGUGCUCAAUCCUCGGUUCAGUACCAUAAUCUAUACUCAUUCUAACAAAGAAGUCCCGACCCUCAUCAACUAGACCUGCAUGACUACAAGCAGAGAGGACACCAAUGAAAGUCACAUCACUUGGUUUUAUACCUUUCUCUCGCAUUAGGGAAAAAUACUCUAAGGCCUUUCUCCCCUGUCCAUUGCUAGCUAGACCUUGAAUCAGCACAUUCCAAGACAAGACAUUUUUCGAAGGCAUCUCCUCAAACACUUCAAGCGAAUUCUCAAUAGAUCCACAUUUCGCAUAAAAGUCCAUUAUGGUGGUCCCAAGAGUAACUGUGAGCUUCAUACGCUUCCUCUUGAUAAAGGAGUGCACCCAUGUUCCAGUUUCAAAAGCCCCUAAAUCUGCACAAGAAGAAAGAACACUUACCAUAGUAACCUCAUUGGGGUCCACUUUUGUCAUUUGCAUCUUAUGGAACAAAUUUAAUGCUUCUCUACAUCGAUCAGAUUGACUGUAACCAGAUAUCAUGGCACUCCAUGCAACGACAUCUCGCCUAGGCACCUUGUCAAACAAUUUUCUUGCAGUAUCAACCUUUUCACAUUUUGCAUACAUAUCUAUAAGAGAUGUGAUUAAUUUGAGGUUAUCUUUCAGGCCUUUUGCCUCAAUAUACUCAUGUAUCCAUUCCCCUAAAUCCAAUUUACCCAAUCUUCCGCAUGCCGUCAAAACAGUAGUCAAUGUAACCUCGUCGAAUCCAACCUUAGACUCCAACAUUUCUUGAAAUAAUAUUACAAUCUCUUCCCAAUGACUACUCUUCAAGUAACCUGAAAACAUUGCAUUCCAAGAAAUGAUUCCUCUUUCAGGCAAUUCAUCAAACACCCUACGAGCAACAUCAACUUUCCCACACUUUGCAUACAGAUGAAUCAAAGUACUCUGAACAAAACCAUGUGACCCAUAUCCAAAUUUCACAAUUUGGGCAUGGAUUUGUUCGCCUUCUUUUAGUGCGCAAAUUCUAGAACAAACUUUCAAAAUGCAGGCAAAUGUAAACUUAUCUGGUUCAACAUCAUUUUCUCUCAUUUCUUUGAACAGCAACACAGCUUCUUCAGGGUAUUGUUUCAAGGUAAAACCUCUGAUUAAAAUAUUAUAAGCAGCAGCUUGGGGUUCUUCAAUUGCGCGGAAAACCGCAAGAGCAUAAUCCAUGCUUCCAGGGAGAAGAAUGGCAGAGGAUUCAAGAACAUUUUCCGCAAUUUUGGGGUUGAGAACAAGGCUGCUUUUGAUAAGAUGGGCAUGAACUUGUUUAAGAUGAUUAAGGGUUUUGCAUUGUUCAAGAAUUAGGGUUUUGGGAUUGUUGGGAAAUUCAGAAAUUGGAGUUGUUGUUGUAGUUAGAGUUUUGGCGGGAAAGGACAAGAGGGAAAUUGCCAUUUUCUGAUUUCUGUUAUGCUGUUGAAUGAAGCGAGGGUCUUUUGAAUUAUGGUUGGUAGUUACUAUUAGCCGUUAUGGUUCAUAAGAUUUUGCUGAUCUGGCAAACCAGUCUGUUUGAAACAUUGAUAUCUAUUAUCUACUAUGAGCAUCUCUAAUGGGUCUUCUAUAUUUGAACGACACAUAGACCGUUAUGAACGACACAUAGGUGCCACGUCUUUUUCCAAAAAAAAUUUAUGAACGUCGUCCAAACCUAUAUCAGGGGCAUCCUUAACGCGCAUUGAUUUUUUUUUUUUUGCUAUAAUUCUAUUUUCCGCGCAGGUUCAACCAGCGUAGAAGUAUUUUUUGGGGGGCUGGACUUAAUUCUAGACCAAACCCAUUAUGGAUCUGUUUAAAUUGAAUGGAUCUGUUUUAACUUAGGCCCAAGUACGUUCCACACUGGUUCAACCUGCGUGGAAUUGUUUUUAAGCAACGUUCCAGUACUUCAUCUUUAUUUUCUUCUUCUUCAUCCGCCAUCCGCCAUUGUUAUCCUUCUUCAUCUUCAUCCACCAUUUUUAUCCUUCUUCUAACUCAAAAAUUAUGCCUCCAAAAAGGAGAUUGUGUGUUAAAAUUAUUCAAAACGUCUACCAAGGUACUAGUAGUAACACGGAAGAUCAAUCCGCCGAUAAUAUGGAAGUCGAAGUUGCGGAAAUCGAUUUUCCACCGUUUCGUGAAAUUCGAGAUUAUACACCAAGAGAACUUGCUCCAUGUACUGGAUCGCAUCUUAGAGCAUUCCCAAUGCAGGGUGGAUAAAUCCACCUCCACGUAGGCGCCACGUAGGUCCACCUAGGCAAAAUCCACCUCAAAGAGAGAGGUGUAUUUGCACCUGGGUGGUAGUCUCCCAACGCAGAGUAGUGGAUUUUUUUAAAAAUCCGGACGGCAUGUCACAUGCCAUCCGAGAGUCCAAAAGCUUUAAAACACUACUUAAACUUAAAAAAAAAAACGGACGGCAUAUCACAUGCCGUCCGAUUCUACCACCCACAGGUGGAUUUCAAGGUGGAUUUUCCCACCUUCAAAUCCACCUGUGGGCAGCCACUUUUCAAAAUCCACCUCCCCUUGGGACAUUGUUUUAGGUUUCAAGGUGGAUUUAUCCACCCCACCCCCAAAAUCCACCUUGCAUUGGGAAUGCUCUUAGUGAUAACAAGUAUAACGUGGAUGUAAGUGUUUGAUUUAAUUUUUGAUAAAUUUGAUUUUUAAUUGGUUUUUAAUUGAUAAACUGCUCGUUUAAUGUAGAGGAUGAACAAUUUGUCAUAUAAAGGCAAAAUGAAUAAUGUAAUGACUUGGUGGUCAUAUAUGGUGGAGAGGGGAAACGAUUUUGCUCAUGUACGUGACUGAAUACAAACGACACCAUUUGGGCCUCUCGUUUCUUUGACACCAUUUCGAACUGAUCGUCAACUUAUAUUCACGUUACUUGAACGAUGGUGGCCGAUUACACACACAUUUCAUUUGCCUUUCGGUGAGCUUGCUUUUACUCCCCACGAUUUUACUAUGUUUACGGGUUUGCGUGUCGGGGUAGGAGAGAUUGUGCCAUAUAUUUCAUCUUAUGAUAAUAACGAGUGUGAGGCUACUAUAUUAUUCCCAACUCUAAGCAACUAUGAGCUUGCUUGGAAGGAUGGGGAAAAACAAACAGGUUUACAAUAUGUUUUUUUUUAGAAUAUGUACAUGUUGCGUACCGUUGCUGAAAAUUCAUGGGUGUUAGAGCCCAAUUCAAUUGAAGAGGAUGAGUAUGUGUUAGCUUUUCUGUUAUACUUUGUGUCUGGGGUUUUGUUUUCUACUGGACAUAGUUGUGUGAAGUUGGGUUGGUGUGGAGCUUUGCUUGAUACAAUCAAGAUUGGAGACUACGAUUGGGGCGGUGCAGCGAUGGCACACAUGUAUUAUCGGAUGGAUUAUUUUUCUACGAGUGGCAAGAAAUUACACAACAUCGGUGGGUUCAUUUGGAUUCUACAAGUUAGUUAUUAUUUUUAAUAUUUAAUUAAUGUAAAGCAUAAAAGCAUGCAUGAUUAUUUAGAUUUUUUAUAUAAAUUUUUUAAUUAUGAAAAUUUUAUUAUGUAGUUUUGGUGGUAUGAGUAUCUGGGCACAUGUAAUCCGAUUUUGUUAGACUAUAAACCACAAGUUUUCCCUCGUAUCCUUAUUUGGGCCCUUGAAAACCGAGCCGAAAUGUUGGGAUUUAUAACGAAUAACUUUAAACAAGCAAGGGCCUCGAUCGAACAGAAAACUUGGGAUAGUAUUAGGUGGAUGCCUUGGGCUGGUUUACCCUCAAACAAUGUACCAUAUAUUGAGACCUCUAGAAUCAUAUCUCAGACAAGAGUGGUUUUAGUUUCUCCAGAGAUAAUGGUUUGGUUUUUAGGGGAUAGAUGUUUACGACAGAUAUCUGGUAUGAUAGCUAUUCCUCAUCCUCCACCACCUGAUAUGGCUCCAGUGAGUCUUCCUUUGGAGCAGAUUUUGACUCGUAGAUUAUCAUUUAAUUGUCCAAUUAGUUCAAUGUUUUGUCAGUUUGUUUCGGCUAUGGAGUACCAGUUGUAUUGGAACACUGUUGAUGGGUACAAUCUUUUGAUAUUAGGGUUUUUUCUGUUGAUGGGUAUAUCAUUUCAUAAUAAACUUUUUAGUUUGUUAAUGGUUUAUUUAUUAUUAAUUUAAAAUAGUAAUCAAAAUAUAUUAAUAAAAAUAGUAAUACAUCAAUCAAAUUAAAUUCGAAAUACAUCUCUAAUACAUUUUAACCUUCAUACUCUUCACCACAUGUUGAACAAAACAUUUUACCCAAUACAUAAUCAAAUUCAAACGAAUCAUGGCUACAAUUUUCGGAAAGCACAUGAAUUUCAUUUUCAUACUCAUCAAUAAGUCGAUUAAAUUCAUCAUCGAUACGCUUUUGUUCUUCGAGUGUUAAUGGUUUCUCUUCUUCGAUGAUUUCUUUCUUCAAUUCUUCACGUUUUUCAUCUUUCGAAUCUUCCAUGAUAACUAAUUAAAAAAAAUGGAGAAUAAAUCGAGUUGAGAAGAAAUUACCAGAAGAUGAAAAAGAUGGAAGUCUGUAAUGUACAGAUGAUGAAGAAGAUGAAGUUAUAUAUAUAUGUUACACAAAUUAUAGCCGUUGAAAAAUUAUGUUCCACGCUAGUGCAACCAGCGCGGAACAAAAAAAAUUUGAUUGAAAUGGUUCCACGCUAGUUGAACUAGCGUGGAACAAAUAAUUUUAGAAUUUUCCUAUAAUCCUAUCUCUCCAGCGAUUUUAGCCAAACUUUUAGCAGCCCGGCCCACCACGUCCUACGUGGAUGGCCGACUGCUUUUUUUAUAGACGACGCAUUAGGGCUGAUUUUUUACCGAAUUCCUAUAAUUUUGGAUAUAAAAGACCCAUUAGAGAUGCUCUUACUAAAACAAAAUCUGGAGCAGCGAAUAUGGUGUUGGAAAUGUUUUGAGUGGUCAAAACAUUUGUAUAUGAAUGAGAAAUUAAAGUCCUAAGUUAUCCACUGAUCAUGGCUAACUUGUGUUAUAGUAGAUAAAUAUGUAUGUAUUUCACAUAUAUUGUAUUUUGUUCAACCCAUCCCAAUGGAUGUGUCUUUCCCUAAUAGACACAUACUUUGUAGACACUCAUUCCCAAUGAGUGUGUCUGUUCCCAGUGUACAUUGUAUUGGGUCAAGUGUCUAUUCAAAUAUGCAUUGAAUAGACAUGUGCCUUUUGAAAAAGUAUCUUUCCUACUAUAUAAGUGUGUCUUGUGUUUGUAGUCAAAUAACUUUUCAAUGAAUUGUUUUUCCAUUCUAGUGUCUGUGUCUUGUCAUGAGAGAGUAUAACAAAGAAUUGGUUCGUUGUCUUCUAUGCGUUUGAAGUGCUGCUACGCUAAGAAGGAUAGAUCGUUGUAUCCUGGGAGACAGUCCGUCAUUGAUAAACCGUUCGGCACAUGUACGGGGCAAAUAAUAUCUUAAGGAGAGAGAUUUUAUCUUGACUCGAUCUAAAUCUUGUUCUUCAUCCAUUUAUUCUGGUUUGCAUCAUCUAUUCCCUUUUUAUUGAUUUUAGAACAGUAAUAUAUAAUAUCGGUGUAUAUUUUUCUACAUAUGGAUGGUAUCUCUAGAAAGUCGAUUGUAUGGUUAGGCAAGCAGCCAAAUUUCUAGGAAAAGUUUUUAGUAUUUGCGGAUGGUUGAAUGCUGAGGAAAAACAACAUUUUGAAUCAUCAAAUUUCUUGACUACAUUAGUUGUUUUUCAUUUGGUGUUCUCACGACCAAGUUGCUUGUUUGUGUCGACUUUACAAAUCACAAUGAUUCAAAUCAUAGACAAUCUCUUUUCAUUGAAAUAUACCACAACAAUCUCAGCUCAAAGAGCAUCUGAUGGUGUUGAAUUGUUGAUAAUCCACCCUCGACGAUUGCGUGUGCACUUAAAGAUGCCAAGCCACUGCCAAGGAUAUGCAUUAAAACGUUCUGCUGUGCACCGUUUUUGAAUUUCAAUGAUCAGGAUGUUUGAGAGAAUAUGAUGCUUUUUAAUUUUAUUUUUUCUGGUAAAUGAAAUUUUAUUAGCUUAAAAUUUUACAGUGCGACAAGUUGUAAUACCCUGCAUAUCAUGUACAAUACUAUUACAAAGCCAAGAUGGCGGGGAGAGCCACACCAGAAUGAGUCAAAUGGGGACAACAAGACUCGGAUUUCUUCUGGAUGCGCGGGCAGAUGCACCUGAGCAUGUCGUUGUUGCUGGAGUUCAGUUGCUUGUAGAGUAGCAUAUUUAGCUAAAAACAUUGGCGACAGAAUUCGCUUCUCUAUAAUUCCAAGUGAAACUACAUUCUGGUAGUUCGUGAAGAAGUUUGCGUAUUUCCGUCCAUAGUUCCUUGAUUGCAAUUAUUGGAACCUCUGAAUUUUGACAGAUAUAAAACACGGCUAUUGAGUCCACUUCCAUAUAGAAUGUCUAACAGAAAAGUUGCCUUCCGGCCUGACAACAAUCUUAUGAUGCACCAGGAUGUUUGUCAGCAGCAGGACGCAGAUGGCUACCAUGUUCGUGUUACUACAACAGAAUGGGUUCCUGCACCAUAUCUUCAGAGUUUGUUCUUCUGGACAAACUCUGAAGGAUUAAUGUCUUUAAAGAGACAAACCAAGGUGUAGAUUUAAUUCAUAUUCUUCAACUAAUUUAUAUGGAGUAUAAAUUAAUUUUGGUGCUGACCAGGCAGCUAAACAGGGAGCCAGAAUGAAAUACAACGAGAUCGCAAUGCUGAAAGGAAUUCCAUCAUGGAUUAAAAGUAUAGAGAGUGCAAACAUCUUGUAUUUCAGAUUCUGUUGAAUCAGUGGAGUCUGUAGAGCUUAUGCUCAAUUUUUGUAUCUGUGCAUCUUUUCAUUUGGUAAUGAAUAAAACACCCUUAGCGAAAAAACAAAUAUAUGGAGUCUCCCUUAUGUAGCUCCUAAGCCUUAAUUACACUGUAAUUGGAUUACGCUAAGUAGGAAAAUCAGUGUAGAACAAAUAAAGUUUUCAUUGAUAUCUUCAUCUAGGACCAGAAAGAACAGAUGGUAAUAUAGGAGAUGAAUCAAUUACUCCUACUUUAUUGCAAACUAUUGAUACAGAGGACGGAAAGUUAUACAAGAAUUUGUAGUCUAGGUUUGGUUCGAUGUCCAUCAAAUCAUCUAAGACCUUCACUACCACAGACAUGGAAGGCCUUCUACAAAAAUCACUCUGUACACACCACACAACUAACUGCAUCAUCUUCAUAACUUCUUCGGUAUGUAACUUCAUAUCAUCGCACUUACUGUUAAUCAUAUUGUACAGUCCAUAAUCUUCUGCGUUCGUUUCUAAAAGACCAAGUAGAUGUAUGGAUUCUUUUGGCUUAGUGAAGUCUAGAUUUUUCUUCCCAACUAAAAUCUCCAAUAAUACAAUGCCGAAGCUAUAUACGUCUGCCUUUUCCGUGAUUACAAAGCUUAGCCACUCGGGUGCCAUAUACCCAGGUGUUCCUCGCAUUGCAGUCAUGACUUUGCUCUGAUCCUUGUCUAUCAACUUUGACAAUCCGAAAUCAGCAACUUUAGCAUUGAAUUUAUCAUCUAAGAGGAUAUUCUGCGGUUUUAUAUCCAAGUGGAGUAUUCUUUGUCUGCAUUCUUCAUGAAGGUAAGUUAGUCCCUUGGCUAUGUCAAGAAUUAUUUUGCGUCUAAUUUGCCAGUCGAGAAUUACUUCAUUUUUUCCACUGAAGAUCCAUUUUUCCAAUGAUCCAUUGCACAUGAACUCGUAAACAAGAAGCUUGUUUGACUUCUCAGCACAAAAUCCGAUAAGUUUUACGAGGUUGACAUGGUGAAUGCUUCCAAUUGUCUCAACUUCUGCCAAAAAUGACUGUUUAACAUGACCAAGUCCAUCUAGCCGCUUCACUGCAACUUUGGUGCCAUCGAUCAAGGUCCCUUUAUAAACAGAUCCAAACCCACCCUCGCCAAGUUUUCUGCAGAAGUUCUCAGUUGCAGUCUUUAAUUCUUCAUAAGAGAAUCUCAUAGGAGUUGCAGAUAAAAGAUCAAGACAACUAUCAUUCUUCUCAACAACAUUCCUUUUCCUUAAAAGACAAACUGUGACGAGCGUAAUCAGAAGUACAGCAAAUGAAGUUCCAAGCGAGAUUUUCAGAAGCACACGAUUUAUAUUUUCAAGAGAACUAUCUGUUGGGAUUGCAGCUGUUUGCACCUUAAUAUUGACUGACCACUUUGUUUUGUGCUUGAUAUGACUUUCAUAGUUAAUCAAAGAAAAUAUCUGAGACUCCAUGUAGCACUCCCCAAGUGACAUAGUGUCACUAUAGCUAAAGAAAGACACUUUGCAAGAACAAUUCCGUAAACAAGCCAGCGCGCAGUUCUCAAUAUCAGUGUUUAUCACAUCAUUCCCAACAUUGAAGUAAGUAAUAUCAUUGAGGCUCAGAAUUUGAUGAUACUCUUGUAAUUCACAAGACAAUGGAGUAGAUACCGUGCAACCAAGAUUUGGUUGCCUUUGAUCCACUGGAUAAAAGUAAUAUUUUCCACCUUCAGUAUUUUCUGGACAGGUGCAUUGACCGUUCGAACAAAUACCAUAUUUGCCACAUGCGAGAGGAUAGUGGCAGUCAUCAACUUCCGAGAAAAGAUCAUGCACCUGCUCCCACUUUGUAGUCCAUGCGUAAACCUUCAAAUGCCCAUCAGAAUCUAACUUCAUGAACUGAAGAUUGGAAGAUAAAGGAGGGAUUAGAAUUUGCCACAUUGGGUUUUCAGAUUCUGAGUUGUUCACAUAUAAAGAUAGACUACCAUUUACGAAUUCGACAUAGCUUGUUUCAUGAACUGUCUUUGCAAAGUAAGACAAUGGAGAAUUGGAACCAAUGAAAGCAAAUAGGCCUUCACUUGUAACAGUGAGAUACUGUGAACCUUCGUUCCAACUUGUUGUCGAUGCACUAGCAAUAAGCUUUUGUCCUGCAACCAACUUUUGCCCAAGAACUAAAGUAUCAGUGGGAUGAUCAAAAGAUUGCCAGAUAGAAUUGUUAUCUGCAUCGAGGAGCGCAAGGUUCCCCAUCUCGGUAACUUCAAGGCCAAUGACAGAUCUUCCAGUGGUGUUUGUAGACCAAACAGGAGAUGUAUCAUUGACAUCUCUCAAGAUUAAAUCGCCUUCUAGAGUAAAUUCCAAUGUUGAGUUUUCUCCAACAGGACUGUUCCGAUUGGCUGACCAUAUUAGUUGAGGGUAUCCUGCAUCAUCUUUAUGAUAGUGCACGAAGAUUCCAAGUAUGAAAGAAGUACAGUCUUCAUUACAGUAGAAAGCAAGGGAAAAAUGUGGAUUAAGGACUGGCGCGUCAAUGAUGAAUCUUGCCAUAGAUCCAUCCUCGUACUUCUUUGUAAGACAAGAGAAUGGAUUGUUGGUCCAUUUCGUCGAGAUGUUAACAUAUUGGCUAUCAAUUGAGUGAAAAUAACAGAUUAGAAAGAUAAGCGGGUAUUGAAAGAGACACCGGCAAGAACCCAUUAGAUCAAAGCCGAUGAAGGUAACCAAAGGUUGAAGUUCUCUGUACAGAUAAGUAUUUACAAAGCUCACUGUCUUCCCAGACUUUCAUAUAUAAAAAUGUUUCUCAUUUUACUAAAACAAGGUGAUGAAGUUUUCAAGAAAAGAGAUGUUCAAGACCAAAGCAUGUUUAAGGAAUCUUAAGAAAUAAGAGUGAAAGACAAACACUAAAUUUUGAGGACAAACACUAAAUCUUGUGGUCUGAAAUGUUUAGUAAAAGGUCAUUUGUCGAAGAUUGCGACUCCCUACCUAGAAAACGAUCUAGUGCACAUAAAUAUAUUCCUGCAGGCUGUUCAUGUAGACAUUCAUAUGAUGCACAUUAUAGCACAGUCACCUUGCACUCUUGCAGUGUCAUGCAGUGCAGUCAUUACUCAUUUGUCUUGCACUCUUGCCCAUUACCAAUAUAUAUGGGUAGACCGGCAGACUGAACAUUUUACCCUGGAGAACGUCUUUAUAGAGAAGUACAUUGUAUCAAGGAUUACAUGCAUUUGUAGAUUUAAGGACUGAUUUGAACUCAAACCAUUCAUUUAUCUACUGUUCAACGCAGAGAAUAUUAUGUCUUACACUGUAUCUUGUCGGCAUUUUUAUGUUUCCUAUGACCCACUGAUACAAAUUACUAGGCAAAUAUACUAUUGAAUGCGAAAUUAAAUAAUAGCAGUAAAUAAAGAUGAACAAAAACACAAGAUCUCGAAGAAAACUAUUUUCUUUACUGAAUAUUAUGAAGAUUACAAGAAUCUCUGCCUCACAAUACUCUCUAGACAAACUAAACCCUAUGUCUCAAUAUUUCUAAACACACUAAACCAUAGUGGUUUCUCUAAACAACUAAAUAAGUCGUUUCACUAUGUUUUGGUUUAUGCCAAAACAUCAAUCUAAACAAACUAAGCACUACAUGUUUCUCUUUCCAUAUUUUGGUUUAUGCCAAAACAUAUAUUUAUAGGCCAAGGAUUUCCCUUUUCCUAAAAUUCUAUCCCUUAUGGAACAAGGAAACCUAUUUAAGGUUUUCUUUUCUUUGUCCUACAAGGAAAAGAAACUGCUAAAUUCCCAAGUAGGAUACACCUGUAUCACCCACGUUUACACCUGUAAUUAUCGAUUAGUUAGUGAAAAAUAUGUAUUUUCUCAAAUGAGCAGUGUGGUUGUCCUGGAGUUACCUGCAAGGAAGAAAGUUAUUUUAGGCUAAUCAAUCACAGGCAACCAAAUGAGGAGUGCACAGAGAUCACCACAUUGUCUUGUGAAACUUCUCAUGAUCGCCAACUCCUAGAUCUCAAAGAUGUUACCUAUUUCUAUUUUCCAGCCAAUAUUACCAGAACAGAUAUUGAGAGUUGCAAGCAAGCCUGUCUAAAAAAUUGCUCUUGCAAAGCAGCUCUGUUUAGGUAUGUGGUAAAUGUACUUCGCAUGGAAGUUGAUUCUUGCCAUCCCAACUCUUCUCACUUAUGAACAUGAGAAGGAUAUGACCCAUUAUAACUCUUCCACAUUCAGAAGCAUCACAGACUGAAUUUAUUCCUCCAACUUCUCAGAACAAAAUCAACUAGUACAGGAAUUAUACUGGGGUCAAGCCUUGGAGCAUUCUCUGGUUUACUUCUUAUAAUAGGCAUUUCAGGAAAAAAGCCAGUGAUGAAAAGGACGAGGAAUAUCUAAAUCAAAUACCAGGCAUGCCUACAAGGUUCACUUAUGAUGAGUGAUGACUUAAAGGUUGCAACAGGAAUUUUCUUAAGAAGCUUGGACAAAGAGGGUUUGGAUCAGUGUUAGAAGGAACUCUGGUUGAUGGCAGUAAAGUUGCUGUUAAAUGUCUUGAUGGCAUUGGGCAAGUAAAGAAGUCCUUCUUAGCCGAAGUCGAGACUAUAGGAAGCAUUCACCAUGUCAACUUGGUUAGAUUGGUUGGAUUUUGUGGUGAUAAAUCCCACAGGCUAUUAGUAUAUGAGUACAUGUACAAUGGCUCCUUAGAAAAAUGGAUAUUCAAUCAACAUCAGGAAUCAUCACUUAGUUGGCACACAAGGCGAAAGAUCAUACUCGACGUGGCAAAAGGUCUGACGUAUCUCAAUGAAGAGUGCAGACAAAAGAUUUUUCACUUGGAUAUUAAACCUCAAAAUAUUCUCAGAGGACGACACUACGACAGCUUCAAUGCUAAGGUUUCUGAUUUUGGAUUGUCUAAGAUGAUGGACACAGACCAAAGCCAAGUUAUGACAACAAUGAGAGGAACUCGUGGAAAAGUACAUGUAUAUAGCCUUGGAGAUUGUAAGUAGAAGGAAAAACUUGGACUACUCUCAGCCUGAGGAAAACAUGCAUUCACUUAGUGUAUUAAAGGAAAAGCAGAGGAAAAUCGACUCUCUGACAUGGCUGACGAAAAACAGCAAAGACCAAUUUUUUCUAUUAAUAAUGUGAUUUUUCGUAAUUUCGAGCUAUGGUCAUAAGAUUUUGUUGAUCUGGCAAACCAGUCUGAUUGAGUUGUUUUGAAACAUUGACAUCUACCAUGCAUUUUUACUUACACUUACUAAACAAAAUCUCGAACAUCGAAUAUGGAUAGUAUCUCCCGAAAAAAAGUCGAUUGUAUGGUUAGGCAAGCUGCCAAAUUUCUGGAAAAAGUUUUUAGUUAUUUGCAGAUUGUUGAAUGCUGAGCAAACACAACAUUUCUAACUUCCUAGUAGUUGUCUUUGAUUUGGUGUUCUCAGGACCAGGUUGCUUGUUUGUGUUGAAUUUACAAAUUAUAGACAAUCGCUUUUCAUUGAAAGAUUGCACAAUAAUCUCAAAGAACAUCUAAUGGUUUCGAUAAUCCACGCUCACCAUUGCGUGUGCACUUAAAGAUGCCAAGGAUAUGCAUCAAAAAGCUCUGCUGCGCAUCUUUGUUGAAUUUCAAUGAUCAGGAUGCAUGUUUGAGAGAAUAUGAUGCUUUUAAUUGUUAGGCUUGGUUCAAAAAGUAAAAGGUAUUAGAUUCAAUCUUAUCUCAUCAGAAUAAAACUUUAGCCUAUAAAUAAUGGACUAAGGAAAUACAGAUUAUAUGACCAUAGCUUGAAAUUACAAAAAAAAUCACAUUAUUGAUACAUAUAGAAUGUCUAACAGAAGAGUUGCCUUCCGGCCUGACAACAAUCUGAUGAUGCACCAGGAUGUUUAUCAGCAGCAGGACGCAGAUGGCUACCAUGUUCGUGUUACUACAACAGAAUGGGUUCCUGCACCAAGUACUUUCGACAUCCCUCACUAUCCAAAUCUUCCUAUCCUCUUCAACAACCAGGCAGGUGAACAACUAUAUGGAAAUCGCCGUGAGGAACAUCUACUUCCAAAGCAUAAAGAGAAGGUUCAUAUGAAUAAGCAUGUUCACUUUGAAGAAAGUAAUGAAGGUAAUCAUCGCCCCAGGCGAACUUCUUAUGAAGAAGAUGUCAACAUGGAAGCUGAUGAUUUCAUCAAGCGCAAACACAGGGCACUAGAACUAAGUAAAACCAUGUCAAUGAAGGCUUUUCAAUAGAUGGAAGAAUGAUGGAUUGCAUAUGUCUACGUUUAAACAGUUCACCCCCAUCCCCCACCCCAAUUAUAAAAAACAACCUAUGUAGCUUAUGCGUGAUUGUAAGCUAAGUUCAGAUUAAAUAAAGUGAACUCCAUUCAAUUAUCUUUUUGAUAUAAUAUAGUGGUAUUAUUUGUCUCCAAAAAAAAAAACUCAAUAUAUGUACAAUUGUGAUCUGCAUGCGACUAGCACUGCCAACAGGUAGAUAUGACCCAGACCAAACACAAACAGUAUUAUCUGAUGGUACAUGAUGGUAUUAUAAAGGCCAGCAAUUAAUGGCUCCAUUUAGCAUGCUGAAGUUGAACAAAGUCACAAACAUACAUUUUUACUUUUAAUGUGAAUGAAAAAUAAGACGACAGAUCGAGCUUGGGAUAAUUAAGCAAUCCCUGAGCAGCACCUUCACUAUAGCCUUGCCACACACGCAUUCCCAUAGGCCCCAAGGGUAGGCUGAGAGCUAUCACCACACUGGUUUAGGCCAAGAGAAACAACUGAACUUAAGCUAAGCACAUGCAGUAUUAUUAAGUGUUAAGUGUUGAAAUUAUGAAACCAAGAACCAUUCUACGCCUGUGUUUGUGAUUAAACAGAACCUGCAGAGUGCAGAGUAUAAGUUGAAAGGAAGAAGUUAGUACCAGCAGGCAGCAAAAUAGAUGUUUGAAUUCCUUACUUAAUAGUUUUAACAGCACUGGAGACUAUUCAGGUUUGGGAACUAAACUAGAAACAUGAAUAACUAAUGUAGUAAGUAGUAACAUACAUACUAAAUUACUAAUGCUAAUGAUAUAUUCACCAAGUUACAGACAGAUAGCUAGUUGAUGGCCUAGUUCAAUUUUCUUGCUGUGUUUGAGGCCUUGCUAAGUUGCUAUAUAUGAACUCGAUCGUGUUAUGACUGAAAAAACCGAAAGACGAAGACCUCACCCUACGACUCGACAUUUAUUGAAUCAAUCAUGUAGCUAUCAUGAUUCAUGCAUCAAUAAUCUGCAAACUACUGAAUGACUGAACAUUGAACACAAAAUCAUCACAGAGAAAAAACAAGAUUAACUUUCUUCCUUUGGACUUGUUCUAAUGGAUCCAUAACCCAAUUACAAACCGACCUACUUAUACACGUGGAUCUGAUACAAAUGAAGAACUUCUAAGACUCAUCAACUUAGAAGAAAUCAAAUACCACCUUGAUGGGAUUGGAGCUCUAAAAGCCCCUGGACCUGAUGGAUUUCCCAGUAUCUUCUAUCAGAAUGCUUGGAACCUAGUCCAUGGUGAGCUACAUGUCCUAGUGACUAACUUCUGGUGUAACAAUGCCUCCAUAGAACACAUUAAUACAACAAACAUCACUCUCAUCCCCAAAGUGACAUCUCCAACUCAACCCUCUGAGUUUAGGCCUAUAAGCCUCUGUAAUGUCACUUAUAAACUCAUUUCUAAGAUCCUUGCUUCAAGACUUAAAUGUCUACUCCCUAAAAUUAUCUCCCCCCUUCAAUGCGCUUUUGUCGCUGAUAGACAAAUCUCUGAUAAUAUUAUUCUCACUCAUGAGAUAAUUCACACUCUCAAGAGAAAACAAGGCAACAAUGGUCUUAUGGCCAUUAAGAUUGAUAUGUCAAAAGCCUUUGAUAGGGUUAAUUGGGAAAGUCUUAUCACUUCUCUCCAUUCAAAUGGCAUAGAUCCUAUUUUCUUAACUCAUGUAGAAAAAUGUUUUUCUACUAUUCACUCUUCUGUCUUGGUUAAUGGAACACCUUAUGGGUAUUUCCAACCUACUUGUGGUCUUAGACAAGGUGAUCCCAUCUCACCUGCUCUAUUCAUCCUGUCCAUGGAACUCCUCUCUAGAAUGAUACAACAAAAAUGCAAUGAAAAGAAAAUUCAUGGGAUUAAGGUAGCUAGAAAUAGCUCACCAAUAUCCCAUCUUCUUUUUGCUGAUGAUGUGUUCAUUUUCUGUAAUGCUAGUUUGGAAGAUUCGAAAAAUGUCAUUGAAACUCUUCAAGAAUUCUGUAAAAUCUCUGGGCAAAAGAUAAAUUUUCAUAAGUCUGGGAUUCUGUUUAGUAACAAUACAAACCCCAUACUCAAAAAUCAAAUAAUGAACUCUCUUCAAAUGAACUACCUUAAUAAGGAAGACCUUUACCUGGGAGCACCUCUCUUUCUAGGCCAAAAAAAAUCUAUCAUGUUCAAGAACCUUGUUACUAGAGUUGAAAAAAGGAUUGCUGGUUGGAAAGGUAAAGUCCUAUCCCAAGCUGGUAGGACUAUUCUUAUUAACUCAGUCACCUCCUCCAUUCCUUCUUACCAAAUGUCUUGUUUCAAAAUCCCGCUAACCAUAACAAACAAGCUUAAUGCUAUCCAAAGGGAUUUUUGGUGGGGUAAAACUGAUAAAAAUAAGAUCAUGUAUCUCAAAAGUUGGAAAUCCAUUUGUGUUCCCAAGAGAUGGGGAGGGUUAGGGGUCAAAGACCUCACUACCCAAAAUGAAGCUCUCUUAUCUAGGACUGCUUGGAGGGUGAUAACCAAAUCUUCUAAUCUUUGCUCUCAAACUCUUAAAGUAAAGUAUUUUACAAAUACUAGUCCCUUUAGGUGUAAGAGACUUAACAACUCUUCUUGGGUAUGGAAGUCUUUAGCCCCCAUUAUUCAGAAAAUGGAAAACCUUAGUUGUUGGGAAGUUAGAGAUGGAAAAUCCACAAGUAUAAGGGAAGACAACUGGAUACCUAGCAUCCAUGGUGACAAGGCUCUACACUCAAAUCUCAGCCCUGACCUGCUUUAUGUCAAAGAUCUCAUCCAACCAAACACUAAUAAUUGGAACACCAGCCACUUCCAUGCAAACUUCCCCUACCAUACCACACAUCAUAUUCAGAACACUAGAAUAGGUUCACCUCAACUAAAGGACAAUAUCAAAUGGAUGGGAUCAAAAAAUGGGAAACAUUCUGUGAAGUCCAUGUAUAGCCAUCUAACAACACAGGAAAUUAGGGGAACCAUAAAUCAGAAAAUAAAUCUCAAAUUAUGGAAAUUUGUGGCAUCCCCUAGAGCUGUCCUUUUCUCUUGGAAAUGCUAUAAUAAUAUAGUUCCUACCAGGCACUACAUUGGUAGACAUGUCACCUUACCUUCUCUAAGUUGCCCUAUGUGCACUUCCCCUGUUGAAACUCUUAAGCAUAUGUUAAUUGAGUGUCCUUACACUCAGGCAGUCUGGUUCCUCUGCAAGUGGAAUUUCAGACUUGUGCACUUCCAAAACCUCACUGUCACCCAAUGGAUGAACCUCUGGUUUGCCCCUGACCAAAGCUGGCUCAUAGAUAAAAGUAUUUGGUCUUCUCACUGUGUUAUCACUACUUGGAAUAUAUGGAAAGCUAGGUGCAACAAAAUUUUCAAAAACACACAUACACCUGCAAAUUUACUAGCAUCCAGAUUGAUAGGGAAGUCGACAGAUACAAUGGACAUUCUAACCCAUCUGUGAAUCAACAAAGAAAAGAUGAAACCUCUAUCUGGAUUCCCCCCUGGAAAAAAACAGUCUGAAGAUCAAUGUGGAGAUCAAGUUCACAUCAGCAAAUGAACUUAUUGGCAUUGGGUUAAUCAUUAAAAACUCUAUGAGAAGUCUACUGUAUGCAGGUUCAGAAUCCAGGAAUGCGAGCAAUUCAGAGGAGGCAGAAUGUUAUGGUAUUUUGGCAGCCAUCCACAAAGCCAAAGAGCAACAACUCACAACAAGAAUUGUGGUGGAAUCUGACCAUCAAAGUGCAAUUCUAUAUCUUCAGGGAAAGCCUUGCAACCUCUCCUGGACUGCGCAAAGUAUUUUGGAUGAAGUGAAGUCCCAGUUUGCGUUUUUUGAUAAUAUUAGAACUAGCUUUUGUAAUAGAUCUGGUAACAUGGCUGCUCAUCUCAUAGCACAAAAUGCUAAUAUAAGUUGUCAUGGUACUACUUCUAUCUGUACCCCCUUCUUGGUUAGCUAAUCAAGUUCUAAAGGAUACAUUAUUUUGUAUCAGUAGUUCUGUUGUAAUUGAAUAACUUUUAUAUAUAUAUAUAUAUAUAUAUAUAUAUAUAUAUAUAUAUAUAUAUAUAUAUAUAUAUACAGAGAGGCUCUUAUACGGACCGUCCGCAUACGGACCUGUAAAACUCACGUGCUUUCUACUAAAACUAUCGUAAAUAUGGUUUCUGUUUCUGGGUGUAAUUAAACCCAAUUUAGACCCGUCUUCUUUCUCGAGUAUUACUGUGUACUUGUGUAGUGUGUACCUCUCCCUCCUUAUCUCCAAAGACACUCUCUUAUCUCUGUCUCUGUAUCUCUAUUUUUAAAUCAUUAAAAAGAAGAAAUAUACCUACUUGACUACUUCUUUCUCAUUUUUGUAAUAUAUUUGGAUAAAGUUUGUUCAUUAGUUCAAUUAAGGACCUCUGUAAAUUGGCUAGAUUCAUAAUGAUAAAAUUCUUGUUUUGGUAAUCUGUAAUCUAUCAAUUGCUAUGGUAGAGACCAAAGGGAAACAAAAUACCAAAAUGAAAAGCUUCUAUUCAUUUCUUUUUUCGAGUGGAACAUAGUCUCAAUUUGGUUUUAUUUGAUUCUUUUGUUAGAUCUGUGAAGAGUUGAGGAGAUAGUAGAGGUUGCAAACUGGAUUAAGAGAGAGAGAAUCUAAUUACAAUCAUAAAACGAGUUUUUGUUCUAACAAACUAAAACCAAUUCCGGGUCGCAGACGGGUUUAAAAGAACCCGGAUAGAGAACCAAAUUUACGAUACAUAACAAAGCACGAGACUUACUUAAAAUGACCAAGUCCGUAUGCGGACGGUCCGCAUAAGAGCCUGACUGUAUAUAUAUAUAUAUAUAUAUAUAUAUAUAUAUAUAUAUAUAUAUAUAUAUAUAUAUAUAUUUGUACAAAUAUACAACUUUUAUGUGAAUAAAGCUUCCUAAUUCAGUAAGUAUUGCGCCUCUUUUAUUUUAAUUUCUACUAUGUACUUUUUCUGUUUUAAUUUUAUGUGAAUAGAACCUGUUCUUCUUCAAUUUUCUUGUUCUGUUCUUUAUUUACUGUUUUCAUAUAUAAUCCUGGUUUAAAAUUGGUAUCAACGCCAUGUCAGCGUAAACUACUGUUGGGGAACAUGUAGUUGCUUAAUUAGGAUAAUUGUUCAAGAUGUGAACAAUAGUAUGGUAGUAGUUCUUUGUUGAAUUUUAUGAUUAAUCAUUUGACUUCGUCGCGUUGGACUAUUUUUAGUCUCCGGCUAGUAAUAGUUCUGUGUUUUGGUUCAUGAUUAGUCUUGACUUCGUCGCGUUGGACUACUUGUAGUCUCCGACUGUUAAUAGUUCUGUGUUUUGAUUUAUGAUGAAUGAAGGCAUAGUCAUGUGGUGACUACCCGUUUAGCCGCAGGCAGGUGGCCGUUAAACGUUUAGGGACAUUUGUCCGUAAUUCGUGAUGGUUGGAGUUCAUCAUAAAUCUUGAUAUGAAACUGUUAAUUGGCUGUGACGUAAAUCGUUGACUGUUGGAAUUAAUCAUGUAUUGAGAUAUGAAAUGGUUGUUAGCUGUGACGUAAAUCGUUGACUGUCAGCAUUAAUCAUGAAUAUUGAUAUAGAACUGUUAUUUACUGUUCUUCUCCUUUCUGAGUAAUUAUCUCUGUUUAAGAACUGCAUGAUCCCUAACAUCUUAUUGACAUCUUCUCUUACGUUUUAUCCGGUUUUAUAUUAAUAAUUAAAUUAUUUCAAAAUGUUUAAUAUGUUUAAAAAUAAAAAGAAAUUUCUGAAAAAUGAAGAAUGUAUCGAAAUCUCUAAUAUAGAGAAAAUGGAAAAUGAAUUAUUAAAUUGGGAUAUGCCCAAGAUUGAACCAAAAAGAAUUUAUAACAUUGGUUCUUUCGAUUAUAAAGUCGCUAUGUCUAUUAAGACAGUAGAACAUACCAUGCCAAUUAAUGGAAAUAAAAGAUCUAUUCCUUUAAUAACCGAACAAGAUAUUAUCAGAUAUCGACAAAAUUACCAUUACAUCAAUAUAGGAUUAAUCCAAAUUGCAGUAAAACCUUUACACCUGAAAGGUAUUGAUUGUUGUUUUCUUCUAGCCCUUAGGGAUGCUAGGUGUACCAACUAUCAAAAAUCCUUGAUGGGUAUUAUGGAGUCCACUACUAGUAAUGGACCAGUUUACUGUAACAUAUAUCCUAAUCUGGAAUUAUCUUUAUCUGAUGAUAAUAUUAUGCAAAGCGUAAUGAUGGACCUUGACACUAAAGGAUAUGAAUUUCUUUCUGGCUCAGAGGUUCUUAAUGUCGCUUAUAGAAUUCAAUUUAAAGUAAUGAACACUUUGAGUCCUAAUGCUAAAUUAAUUAGCAAUAAAAGAAAUACUACUAUUAUUGAAACAAAUUUAGGAAGGUCUAAUAUGGCCUGUAAUAAGGUUAUCCCUUGGGAUCAAAUUAGUUAUCCUGAAAACUGGGAUCAUCAGGGAAUUAUCCCUUCCCAACCAAUUAAUAGGAACCUGGAUCAAAUCACCCAAACUCCUGAAGGAGAUAUUGAAAUCCGGUUUUCUUCCAACAGAAUAUCUCGUCUCAAAUCUGUUAAAAACUUCUAUUCUUCGGAACCAUCUAGAGCCUCCACUUCUAGUAUUCCUGAUAAGAUAGAAAAUGAUUUUGAGAUUAGAAGAGUAAAAGAAUUUGAUAAUGCUAUUCCCCAUGGUCUUUAUACUAGGCCUUCUGCUCUUAAUCCUACCCCUUCAGAGAUGGAUUUCUCCAUUAAUGUGAUAGAAUUAACCAAUGAAUUUAAAGUUGAUCGUAUUGCCAUUAAUAAUGACUUUAAAAGUUCUAAAUAUGAUGCCUUUCGAAAAUGGUAUUUUGAUUAUUAUAAUAAAGGCCAACAUGAAUUUCUUAAAGAAAAAUAUUAUAAAUAUUUGGAUGAGACUAAAAGUAUUAUUCCUUUCGCACACUAUGUGCUAAGAUGGGAUAAAACUUUGGAAUCAUGCGUAAUUAAAGACUUUUAUAGGAGUUGGACUACUACUGAUGGUAGAAGCAUCAAGGCUAUUCAUCCCCCUACCCAGCCUCUGAAAUUAAUUAAUGAGUCUACUACUUUGGAAACUGUUGCUUAUGUUCAACCUUCCACUGAAGAAUCUGAAUUAAACAGGGUUUUUAAACAAUCCAAUUAUACCAAUUUAUGUUUACAAACUAUCGGAAAACAGCUUCUCCGUAUUGAAACCGCGGUUAGUAAACCUGAACCUAAUGAAGAAAUCUUCCCUGUUAAUAUUAAACCUCCUCCUGAUAUGAAGUUUAAUUUGGGAAGUAAUAAAUUAAGUCAAAAUAAUUUUAUCGAAGAACUUACUAAAAUAUUAAAAGGAAUAAAAUUAACCGAUAAUCAUAUUGCUGUUUUAUCACAAAAUGAUAAUUUUAUUAACAAAAAUUUAUCAGAUGAAAAUAUUGAAGAAUUUCAAAAUAUUCUGCACAAUAUGGAACAAGAAGUUAAUGAACUUGAUUUUAGCAAAUCUAAUAAAGCUAAAAUACCGCCUACUCGGACAUAUUAUCCUAGGCCCACUCCUACAGACCUUCUAAAUGAAGAAGAUUAUAUUGUUGUACAAACUUCAUACAGUGCUAAAACUAUCUACGAAUAGAAUAUAGAUAGUUUAUCUGAAUAUCUAAUAUAUGUCACUUUACAUAAAAUGCUUAUGUUUGCUACUGUUUAUAAAAAUUCCAAUAACACGAAUAGACAAACAGCUAAUUGUAUUAUAGCCGGAUUUACGGGCCAAUUAAAAGGUUGGUGGGAUAAUAUUCUUACCCCUAGUCAAAAGGAAGAAAUUUAUAGUUCUAAAAAACUAGAACCCAGCACCUCUAGACAACCUAUUCAAAGUGAGGAUGCAGUCUAUACCUUAAUUCAAACGAUAAUUAAACAUUUUAUCGGUAAUACUAUGACUGCCCAUGAACGAGGAAAAGACUUGCUCAUGAAUUUAAAAUGUCCAACGUUGACUCAUUUUCGUUGGUAUAAAGAUGUUUUCAUGGCUAAAAUCACUGUUAGGCAUGAUGGUAAUAAUGCCUUUUGGAAAGAAAAAUUCAUUUCUGGUUUACCUCGUCUAUUUGCCGAGAAAGACAAAAAUAGACUUAAAAAUAAACAUGAUGGGAUUCAGAUCCCUUAUGAUUUCUAUACUUAUGGUGAACUUAUUAGUGAAUGCACUUCUGAGGAUCUAGCUCUCUGUAAUGAUAUUCGUCUUAAAAAUCAGCUUAAAACCCAAAAUUUAACUGGGAAAAAUGAAUUAGGACAAUUUUGUGAACAAUUUGGGUAUGAUAUGCCUAAACAGAGAAAUAAAUAUGUUACAUCUCAAAAAAGAGUUUCUAAGAAACCUUUUCGUAGGAAAUCUUCAAGUCACACUUAUAAAAGACCUGACCAGGUCUUUUCCAAGCAAAAAUCAAAUUCUUACCCAAAAAGGGAUUCUAAGAAUUUAAAAAAUAUUACUUGCCAUAAAUGUGGCAAUAAAGGUCACUAUGCUAACCGAUGUACUUCUAAAACUGAUAUUUGUAAACAAAUUAACGAAUUAAGCAUUGACGACAAUGUUAAGAAACAAAUCAAUCAAAUUCUUGAUAACUAUGAACCUUCUAGUAGUUAUUGCUCUGAAGAUUCUUUUGACCAAAUUAUGGAAAUAGAAGAGCUCACUAAUAGUGAUUCUAGUAGCGGUAAUCAGUCUGGAAAAGGUUGUUCUACAUAUUGCAAGACUUCCCAAGACUAUUACAAAGCUAUUAUUGAUAUGAAUGGGCUUAAUAUUAAUGUCCUAUCUGAAAAUCAGACUUUAAUUCUUGACAUUAUUGAUAAAAUAUCUGAUCCUAUUGAAAAAAGACAGGCUAUUGAGAGACAUUUAGAAAAUUCUUCUAAUACCAAUCUAAAUUCCAGUAUUUUAAAACCUUAUUCUUUACAAGAGGUUUUUGAUAGAAUUGAAUCAAGAACUAUAGUUAAAGAAACUACUAUUUUUGAUCUCAAAGGAGAAAUGAAUAAUUUAAAAGUUGAAAUAGAAAAUCUGAGGUGGAGAAUUUCCCAACUUGAAACUAAUAAUACUCUUCCUCCUCCUACCAUCACUAAAGAUGAGAUUGGGGAUUUAUUAUCUCUGAAUCAUAGUAUUAAUCAUUAGCAGUAUUCAUGACUAUGCCUUCAUUCAUCAUAAAUCAGAACACAGAACUGUUAACAGCCGGAGACUACAAGUAGUCCAACGCGACGAAGUCAAAACUAAUCAUGAACCAAAACACAGAACUAUUACUAGCCGGAGACUACAAGUAGUCCGACGCGACGAAGUCAAAUGAUUAAUCAUAAAGAUCAACAAAGAACUACUACCAUACUAUUGUUCACAUCUUGAACAAUUAUCCUAAUUAAGCAACUACAUGUUCCCCAACAGUAAUUUACGCUGACAUGACUCUGAUACCAAUUUUAAACCAGGAUUAUAAAUUAAAACAAUAAAUUAAGAACAGAACAAGAAAAUAUAAGAAGAACAAGUUCUAUUCACAUAAAAAAGUAAAACAGAAAAAGUACAGAGUAAAAAGAAGAGAAAACUUACAGAAAAGAAGCUUUAUUCACAUAAAAGUUGUACUAAUUGUACAACUAAGUAGUAUACCAAUUUUAAACCAGGAUUAUAUAUGAAAACAGUAAAUAAAGAACAAAACAAGAAAAUUGAAGAAGAACAGGUUCUAUUCACAUAAAAUUAAAACAGAAAAAGUACAGAGUAGAAAUUAAAAUAAAAGAGGUGCAAUACUUACUGAAUUAGGAAGCUUUAUUCACAUAAAAGUCGUAUAUUUGUACAACUAAGUAGUAGAUAUACACCCCCUGAAGAAAGCUUCAGGUAAAAACUAAAGACUGAAAGGUUGAAAAACCAAAAGAUUUACAAGAAGAAAAGAAAAGAUUACAAAAGAAGAGCAAAAGGGAGAAGAAGAGAGAAAGCUAAGCAAGUGUCGAAGCUUGUUCUCUUUCAUUUACAAAGGCCUCUUAUAUAGGCAAAGUGAAAGGUGGGUCCCAUUGAGCACCUUGUGAUGUGUGGGCCCCAUUGAGCAUCUUGUAAGUGGGUGGGCCCCAUUGAGCACCAUGUGAUGUGUGGACCCCAUAUUUUCUGUCGGAGUCUGAUAAAUGGGCAGACAUACUGUCCUGUGGAUACUGUUUUGUGGUCCCAUAUGAUUUGCGGGAUCUGAUAAAGAAGACCUAAUAAGGGAUAUAUUUGCUAAAUUUCAAUUCUUUCUUUGGCUGUUAUAGAAAAAGUAAGAUGUAGAAGCUGGAAAGAUGAUUUGGAAUAAUAGUGGUGGGUCUUGAGAAUGUAGACCCCAUGCUAGCAUAAGGAUGGGAGGUUUGGUUGUAAUAUUGGAUGGAAUAAAUAAUUCUCAAGGAUCAUUAAAUCAUGGUGAUAAUAAUUAUAGGUAUAUAGGUAGUGUGAGUAAUAUUUCGCUGAAUUGAGGAUUUGUCUUUAAGCUGAAGAACCAAUAGAUGGCCAGAAGCCAACAAGGGUUGGAAAGACACAUGGUUGUAAUAAUUUAUAGGCCUGUGAUUAGGCGUGACAUGGUAUAAAUGAUGAUUGGAUUAGAUAAUCUGCCAUGAGAAAGGAGAGUGAUGGGCUGUCAACUCUAUCUGAUUAGAAGAAUUUAAUUUGAAAUUGUAGUUCAGAACUGUUAACUCGAAGGCGAUAAAGUUCACCACCAGUUAUCAAACCAGGUAGGAACUGAGUUUCUAUUCUUUUCAAAAUUAGAGGAAAAGUAGAAAACCCAGAAAUACUCUUUUUGAGGGAAUUGAUGAAAAAAUGUAUAAGUCCAUGCAUCCAUAUAAUCCCAGUAAUUAAAGGUCUGGUUACUAAAGCUAUUAGCUUGAGUAAGGGGACCAAUUAGGUCUUUGGUGGUAAGAGGAUCACCCCAUUCCACCUGUUCCAUUAUAUUAUGGAUAAAAGCUCUUCGAUAAGGCAUAGAUGAUUGGUCAUUACCAAUAGUUGGAGAAUUAUCCAAAGAGACAGAAUUGGUCUCAAUUAAAAUAGAUUCGUAGAAAUUUCUACGAUUAUAAAUUUGGGAUGGACUAUUAGUCCCUUGACCGAAUUUCCUUGUACCGAGAUAAAUAGGCAUUUUUACCCAUUUUUCAUCGUCGGUAGUUAAGGCAAAAAGUAAUUCAUUGGAAUCCUUUAGGAAUAAUCGGGUACCAUUAUUCCAUACUGAGGAUUUAUUCAUUUUCCUUUGUCUGUCUUUUAAGACCGGAGAAAAUAUCCCCAAUUUGGGAGAGGGGGAGAAAGUUUUACUUUUUCCCUUAUCAGGGUUCGAAGUAGAACCAGGAUUCUGAUCAGGAGAAGUCAUUCCUAUAAAGACAAUAAUAAUGCCUGAUUGCUUCAAAAAGCAUUGAUAAUGAUAUAAUCAUAAUAAUUGCAUAACUUCAAUUGGAAGUAAUUAAAAUAAUUCCAUAAGAAUUUAUGUCAUUUGUAAUUCUUCGACCACGAUUGUGGCUAGUUUAUAAUAUGACUAUUAGUCAAAAUUCUUGAUAUUAAGAAUUAGACAAAUAUUCCCUCGAUAUCUGAUAAGAUUAUAAAAUCCUUGUCUAUAAGACAUAAAAUUUUCCAUGUCUAUAAGACAUUAUGAGCCAAUCCUUAACAUGACUAUUAGUCAAAAAUUCUUGAUAUUAAGAAUUAGACAAAUAUUCCUUCAAUAUCUGAUAAGAUUUUGAAAUCAUUGUCUAUAAGACAUAAAAAAAUUCAUGUCUAUAAGACAUUAUGAGCCAAUCCUUGUAUUGCAAAUAUUGUCUUAUAAGACAAUAGGAAUAUUGCUAUCUGAUUCAUAGGAUGAAGAAUUAGAUUGUUCUUCAUCAAUUUGAAAAAUCAUUUUCUCUUUUAAUUGCUGUAUAUACUCAUUAUUGGGUUUAAUGGUGAAUUCAAAAAUAAUUUUAUUUCCCAAAAGAGUAGUGUGAAUACUUUCAUCAUCUACUCUUUCAAUAGGCCAAAUAAGGCUUAAGAAAGGUUUUCCUAAGAUUACCAUUUGGGAUAGAGUAUUAGAUAGGACAAAAGGAGUUCUAAUACGAAUAGUAUUAUUACAGACUAGUACAUCUGAUAAUUUAUAAUUUAUCUUCAUAGAAGAACCAUUAGCAGUAUUUAAGGCGUAAUGAAUUUUUUCAAAAUAUUUAGAAGGUACUAAUCCUUCUCUUAUGCAAUUGAGAUCUGACCCACUGUCUAUCAGGGCAAUGGUAUCCAAAAUAAAAUCAUGACUAAUAAUAAGUCUAGUAUUAAUAUACCAUUUCUGAUUAAUACUAUGAUUCAGAGAUAAUAAAUCCCCAAUCUCAUCUUUAGUGAUGGUAGGAGGAGGAAGAGUAUUAUUAGUUUCAAGUUGGGAAAUUCUCCACCUCAGAUUUUCUAUUUCAACUUUUAAAUUAUUCAUUUCUCCUUUGAGAUCAAAAAUAGUAGUUUCUUUAACUAUAGUUCUUGAUUCAAUUCUAUCAAAAACCUCUUGUAAAGAAUAAGGUUUUAAAAUACUGGAAUUUAGAUUGGUAUUAGAAGAAUUUUCUAAAUAUUUCUCAAUAGCCUGUCUUUUUCCAAUAGGAUCAAAUAUUUUAUCAAUAAUGUCAAGAAUUAAAGUCUGAUUUUCAGAAAGGACAUUAAUAUUAAGCCCGUUCAUAUCAAUAAUAGGUUUGUAAUAGUCUUGGGAAGUCUUGCAAUGUGUAGAACAACUUUUUCCUGACUAUUAGUGAGCUCUUCUAUUUCCAUAAUUUGGUCAGAAGAAUCUUCAGAGUAAUAAUUACUAGGAGGUUCAUAGUUAUCAAGAAUUUGAUUGAUUUGUUUCUUAACAUUGUCAUCGAUGCUUAAUUCAUUGAUUUGUUUACGAAUAUCAGUUUUAGAAGUGCAUCGGUUAGCAUAAUGACCUUUAUUGCCACAUUUAUGGCAAGAAAGACCAUGAGGAAUAGCAUUAUCAGAUUCUUUUACUCCUCUAAUCUCAAAAUCAUUUUCUAUCUUAUCAGGAAUAUUAUAAGUGUGACUUGAAGAUUUCCUACGAAAAGUUUUUAAUAGAUUUGAGACGAGAUAUUCUGUUGGAAGAAAACCGGAUUUCAAUAUCUCCUUCAAGAGUUUGGGUGAUUUGAUCCAGGUUCCUAUUAAUUGGUUGGGAACGGAUAAUUCCCUGAUGAUCCCAGUUUUCAGGAUAACUAAUUUGAUCCCAAGGGAUAACCUUAUUACAGGCCAUAUUAGACCUUCCUAAAUUUGUUUCAAUAAUAGUAGUAUUUCUUUUAUUGCUAAUUAAUUUAGCAUUAGGACUCAAAGUGUUCAUUACUUUAAAUUGAAUUCUAUAAGCGACAUUAAGAACCUCUGCGCCAGAAAGAAAUUCAUAUCCUUUAGUGUCAAGGUCCAUCAUUACGCUUUGCAUAAUAUUAUCAUCAGAUAAAGAUAAUUCCGGAUUACGAUAUAUGUUACAGUAAACUGGUCCAUUACUAGUAGUGGACUCCAUAAUACCCAUCAAGGAUUUUUGAUAGUUGGUACACCUAGCAUCCCUAAGGGCUAGAAGAAAACAACAAUUAAUACCUUUCAGGUGUAAAGGUUUUAUUGCAAUUUGGAUUAAUCCUAUAUGGAUGUAAUGGUAAUUUUGUCGAUAUCUGAUAAUAUCUUGUUCGGUUAUUAAAGGAAUACAUCUUUUAUUUCCAUUAAUUGGCGUGGUAUGUUCUACUGUCUUAAUAGACAUAGCUACUUUGUAAUCGAAAGAACCAAUGUUAUAAAUUCUUUUUGGUUCAAUCUUGGGCAUAUCCCAAUUUAAUAAUUCAUUUUCCAUUUUCUCUAUAUUAGAGAUUUCGAUACAUUCUUCAUUUUUCAUAAAUUUCUUUUUAUUUUUAAACAUAUUAAACAUUUUGAAAUAACUUAAUUAUUAAUAUAAAACCGGAUAAAACGUAAGAGAAGAUGUCAAUAAGAUGUUAGGGAUCAUGCAGUUCUUAAACAGAGAUAAUUACUCAGAAAGGAGAAGAAUAGUAAAUAACAGUUCUAUAUCAAUAUUCAUGAUUAAUGCUGACAGUCAACGAUUUACGUCACAGCUAACAACCAUUUCAUAUCUCAAUACAUGAUUAAUUCCAACAGUCAACGAUUUACGUCACAGCCAAUUAACAGUUUCAUAUCAAGAUUUAUGAUGAACUUCAACCAUCACGAAUUACGGACAAAUGUCCCUAAACGCCUAACGACCACCUGCCUGCGGCUAAACGGGUAGUCACCACAUGACUAUGCCUUCAUUCAUCAUAAAUCAGAACACAUAACAAUUAACAGCCGGAGACUACAAGUAGUCCAACGCGACGAAGUCAGGACUAAUCAUGAACCAAAACACAGAACUAUUACUAGCCGGAGACUAAAAAUAGUCCAACGCGACGAAGUCAAAUGAUUAAUCAUAAAAUUCAACAAAGAACUACUACCAUACUAUUGUUCACAUCUUGAACAAUUAUCCUAAUUAAGCAACUAGAUGUUCCCCAACAGUAAUUUACGCUGCCAUGGCUCUGAUACCAAUUUUAAACCAGGAGUAUAUAUGAAAACAGGAAAUAAAGAACAGAACAAAAAAAUUGAAGAAGAACAGGUUCUAUUCACAUAAAUUUAAAACAGAAAAAGUACAGAGUAGAAAUUAAAAUAAAAGAGGCGCAAUACUUACUGAAUUAGGAAGCUUUAUUCACAUAUAAGUUGUACUAAUUGUACAACUAAGUAGUAGAUAUACACCCCCUGAAGAAAGCUUCAGGUAAAAACUAAAGACCGAAAGAUUGAAAAACCAAAAGAUUUACAAGAAGAAAAGAAAAGAUUACAAAAAAAGAGCAAAAGGGAGAAGAAGAGAGAAAGCUAAGCAAGUGUCGAAGCUUGUUCUCUUUCAUUUACAAGGGCCUCUUAUAUAGGCCAAGUGAGAGGUGGGCCCCAUUGAGCAUCUUAUAAGAGGGUGGACCCCAUUAAACACCUUAUGAUGUGUGGGCCCCAUUGAGCAUCUUGUAAGUGGGUGGUCCCCAUUGAGCACCAUGUGAACAGCUGAUUGGACUAGUAUGUGGACCUCAUAUUUUGUAUCGGAGUCUGAUAAAAUAAGCAGACACAUUGUCUUGUGGUCUUCAUAUUAUUACAUCCGGGAUAGGAAAUUUGGUUGUUUUACUAAAUGAAUAAUUAAUGGGUCGAAUAUCACCUCUUGGAUUGAUGGCUUGAAAAGAAAUCAGUAAAUGGUUAAAACCAAAGGAUUUGAAUGACAUGUGGAUCAUGAAAGGGAGAAAACAAAAUUUGGUAUCCUUGUGGUUAGGUUUGACAAAAUUGAGGUAUAAUUGUUGAUUUGAAGAGUGGAAGUAAUUUUCCACUAGAUUUCAAAUUGCAAGUUGGAAGUAACUAAUCCACUUCUAGAUCGACAUCAUCAUCAUCAUCAUCAUCAUCAUCAAGUUGAGAAGAACUCUGUUGAGAGGAGCCCUGUUUAAGGUCCCACCAUGAAACAAUAACAUUGACAGGAGUACUAGUGUCUUUGUUGGUAGUGGGAUUUGUGUCCAUAGGAGAAAUAUCUCCAAAAGAAGCUUGGAUAUGCUCCUGCAUUUCUUUCAUAACUCGAAAUUUGAGUUCUUGGGAUGAGAGACCAGGGUGAGUCUUGGUUAAUUUUUCCCUAAUAAUUGAGACAGGAUUGUCUGGUAAAGUUUCUUUAAGAACUGGUGAUUGUGUAUGUCGAGAGACAUAUAAUUGUUCCAGCUUUUGGAUAUCGGGAGUAAUAGUUAAUAGUUUACUCUCGAUAGGGCAAUUGGCCCACCAUUUAUAAUGGUACUGGCGACAAAGACCAUGAAGGCCUUCACUUGCCUGAUAUUGACAGCUAUAAGUCCAGGCCCAAAUCCAUGGAAUUAGAUAAUCUGCCAGAAAAAAGAGGAAUGAUUUACCUCGAAUAGUAUCUUUCCCUUCAAAUAAAUGAUGGAAUUGAAGAUAAUAUUUAUAAAGAACUGUUAGUUCUGUGUGCAAGUAGUCCAAAUUAGGACCAAAUUUGAAAAACCAGUUAUAAAACCAGUUAGGAAUUUCAUUAUUGUCUUUCUUGAAAUCUUCAUCAAAAUAGAAGAACCAAGAAUGCUUCCUUUGAGGAUUUUGGUAAAAGAACGUAUAAGUCCAAGCAUCCAUAUAAUCCCAAUAAUUAUAGGAUUGAUUAUAGUUGUGGUACGAUCCACGUAAUUCCCGUAAUUUAUUCGGGUCGCCCCAAUCCAAAGAUUUGAGAACCAUAUGAAUCAUUGCUUUGCUAUAAGCAAAGGGAGAAUUAGAAGUAUUACUCCUUCUUUUAUGAUCAAAAGUGAUUGAAUUAGUCUCUUCCAAAAUUGACUCAUAGAAAUAUCUAUGUUUUCCACCUCGGAUAGGACUAUUAUCCUUUUCGUCAAAAUAUUUUUGGCCCAGAAUAAUAGGGUCCAUCAUCCAUUUGUUAUCCUCUGGAUUAAGGAUUACAAGUAGUUCUGUGUAAUUGUUUAAGAACAACUUGGGCUCAUUGUUGCCUAAUAAGGCAUCUUUCAUAGUUUUGUCUAUUGAAACUUUUGAAGAAGAAGCUGAUUCAGGUUUGAUAAAGACAGAUUUGCCUUUUCCACGUCCUCGCCCCAUAUAAGGUGCUGGACUAUGAGAAUUCAUCCCUGCAAAUAUUUGCGGGUAAGAAAAUCAGGAAGAGAAUUAUUAUCCCCUUUUAUGUAUUCUAUUUGAAAUUCAAAUACUGAAAGAAUUGCUUGCCAUCGGGCAAAGAUAUGUUUAGAUGCUAAAUUUUUAACAUUUUUUUCAAUAAUAUCUUUUGCAGAGCUACAAUCAAUUCGUAGCAAAAAUUCUUGAUUUAUUAAAUCAUCUUGGAAUUUAGUAAUACAGUUGACUAUAGCCAACAUUUCUUUUUUAACAGUCGAAUAUUUAACUUGAGCAUUUUUCCAAAUGCCAGAAUGGAAUCUAAUUAGUUCCUCUUUAUUUGUCAGAGAAUUUCUCUGUUUGAGUAUUCCACCAUAACCUCUAUUAGAGGCAUCUGUCUCCACAAUUUUCAAUCCAUUGGGAUUGGCUAGUGAUAAACAAGGCAAUUGUUUAGCUUUAAGCUUUAUUUUCUGAACCGCUUUUGUAUGAUCCGAGGUCCAAGGUUCAGGAUUUUUGCGAAGUCUUUCAUAAAGAAUUUUGGUGUCAAAAGCUAUGUCUUUGUAAUAAUCAAAGAUAUAAUUAAGGCUUCCUAAGAACCUCUGUAAUUGUUUUUUAUCUCUUAUUUCAUCAGGGAAUUUUGAUGCAAAUUCUAUAGACCUAUUAAUGGGGAUAAUUUUUCCCUGACAAAUAUUAUGUCCUAAGAAACGAAUUUCGGUUUUGAAGAUUUUCAUUUUUUGGGCAGAAACAACUAAACUAUUUUUCUUAAUAAGAUGGAAAAAUAUAUUUAGAUGUUUAAAAUGUUGAUCAAUAGAAUUGGAAAAGAUUAAUAUAUCAUCAAUAUAUACAAUACAGAAUUCAGUAUAAGCAUUAAAAAUUCCAUUUAUAAUAUUCAUAAAUUCUGAAGGAGCAUUUUUUAAACCAAAAGUCAUAACAUUCCAUUCAUAAUGUCCAAAAGGAACAGUAAAAGCAGUUUUAUAUUUAUCUUGUUCAAUAAUCUGAACUUGCCAAUAACCUGACUUUAAAUCGAAUUUAGAAAAUAUACGAGCAUCAUUUAAGCGUUUUAAUAAAUCUUUUUUAUUAGGAAUAGGAUAACGAAUCCAUUGAAGAACCUUAUUAAGGGAUUUGUAAUUAAUAACUAAUCUAGGAAUCCCUCUUUCUUGUUCAGCAUUUUUAUUUACAUAAAAGGCUGCACAACUCCAACAAGAAGAGUUUUUCCUAAUAAGCUGUUUAUCUAACAGACAUUGAAUUUCAGUCUUACAUAAUUCCAUAUAAACUUUAUUCAUUUGGAUUGGUCUAGCCUUAGUAGGUAUCAUGUUUUCAUUAAAACCUUCGAUAUAGGGUAAUUGUACUAUGUGUUGCUUCCUAUCCCAAAAGGCAUUAGGAGCAUCGCUACAUAUCUCCUUCUGAAAUUGUUUUUCUAAGGAAAGAAUUUUUUCUUUAGUAACAAAUUGCUCUAAUUGUUUGUCAAUAGAAGCAUAUCCUAUUUCUUGAGACAAAAAAUUGAUUUGUUUUUCUUUUAAAAUCAAAGUUUCUUGUAAUUGAUUGAUGUAAUUUAUCUUAGGUUUAAUGGUAAAUUCAAAGACUGUCUUUUUGCCCUUUAUAGUAGUAUGAAUUCCAUUAUUAUCGAUCCUUUCAAUAGGCCAAAUAAGGCUUAAAAAAGGUCUUCCUAAUAUUACCAUUUGAGAUAAAUUAUCAGAUAAGACAAAAGGUGUAUUAAUACAAAUACCAUCAUUGCAGACAAAAACAUCCGAUAAUUUAUAGUUUAUCCUCAUAAGAGAACCAUUAGCAGUAUUCAAUGCAUACUUAGUUUUCUCAAAAUACUUAGUAGGAACUAAUCCUUCCCUUAUACAAUUAAGAUCAGAACCACUAUCAACCAAAGCAAUAGUUUCUAAAGUAAAAUCUUGAUUAAUAACCAAUUUUACCUUAAUAUGCCACUUUUGAUUGGUAGGUUGAUGUAAGGAUAGUAAAUCCCCAAUAGUCUCUAUUUCUGGUAAAUAAUUAGAAUUUGUUUGAUUCUGGAGUAAGGAAAUUUUUCCAUUUAGGUUUUUAAUAUCUGAUUUAAGAUUAUUAAUUUCGCCUCUAAGGUCAGAAAUGGUAGAUUUAUUAACCAUAGAAUUUGAUUCAAUAUUAUGAAAAACACCAUCUAAGGAAGAAAGGUUUUUAGUAUUAUAAGUAUUUUCUAAAUAGUUUUGAAAAGCUUGUCUUCUCUCAACAGGAUUGGAUAUUUUAUCAAUAACAUCCAAAAUUAAGGUCUGAUCCUUAGUUAAGACAUUUAUAUUAGGUUUAUUUAUUUUAUUAUUAAACAUAUCAUAAUUUAGAGAAGUUGUUUGAUAAAACCAAUUUGCUAAUUUUGAUUUAUUAGUGAUAUCCAUAAUAUCCUGAUUAAAAGGUUUAAUUAAUUUGGUUACAUCAGUUGAAGAGAUAUAUUCUCUUUUUAUCUGAUCAAUAAUAAGUGUGAAAUUAUUCCUUUUAGGAUAUUGAUUAUUAAAAACAAAUUGUUGUUUGAAAAUGACUUGAUUAGAUCUACUAUAGAUAGAUUUUUGACGGAAAGGUUUUUUGGAAUCUUUUCUAUGAGAAAUAAUAUUUUUAAUACUAGGCGUUGAAAUAAGUAUAGUAUUAUCGAAUUGAUUAGGAUAUUGUCUUGUUUCAUAGUUCUCAGUUAAUUUCUGAGUGUGAAGUUGAUUUUGUAAAAGCACUUUAUUACUAAAGAUUAACUUUGUAAUAAUAAUAUCUUUACUAGAAGAGAGGAGGAUAACAUCAUGUUUAUCUUCCAGACUGGCAUUGAUAUUACUAUCUUCAGUAUUCUUAUUAGAUAUAAUAUCAAUAUCCUGUGAUAAUUCAAUAUUAUUAUCAGUUAAAGUCUUGGUUGGUUGAUUUUGGCUUAAAUCAUUGUUUUCUAAGCCAAUUUGUUUUAUAGGAAGAGAAUAAAUUUUUUCCCUGCAGUAUCUUAUACUUAAUUCAGGUUCAUUAACCGUAUUAUUAUUAUUGAUAAGUUGUCUGUCGAUUGGUUGUAAAUCCGAAACACUUCUUGUUAACUUUGUCUCUUCUGAAAAAGGUUGUUUGGGAACAACCGAUUUCUGAAUAAUAGAUUCAUUUAUUAAUUUAAGAGACUGAGUAGGAAGGUGAUCAGAUUUAGACCCAGAAUAAUUUGAAAGAUGAAGUAGAAAAUCUGAGGUGGAGAGUUUCCCAACUUGAAACUAACAAUACUCUUCCUCCUCCUACCAUCAAUAAAGAUGAGAUUGGAGAUUUAUUAUCUCUAAACCAUAAUAGUAAUCAAAAAUGGUAUAUUAAUACUGACUUAUUAUUAGUCAUGACUUUAUUUUGGAUACCAUUGCCUGAUAGACAGUGGGUCAGAUCUUAAUUGCAUAAGAGAAGGAUUAGUACCUUCUAAAUAUUUUGAAAAAAUUCAUUAUGCCUUGAAUACUGCUAAUGGUUCUUUUAUGAAGAUAAAUCAUAAACUAUCAAAUGUUUUAGUAUGUAAUAAUACUAUUCGUAUUAAAACUCAUUUUGUUUUAUUUAAUACUUUAUCCCAAAUGGUAAUUUUAGGAAAACCGUUUUUAAGCCUUAUAUGGCCCAUUGAAAGAAUAGAUGAUGAAGGAAUCCAUACUACCCUUAUAGGGAAAAAGAUUAUUUUUGAAUUUAUCAUCAAACCCGAUAAAGGAUAUAUACAUCAAUUAAAAGAAAAAAUGAUCUUUGAAGAAAUUGAUGAUGGGCAGUCUAAUCCAGAUUGCAAUAUUCCUAUUUGAGCAGGAUUUUCGAUAUUUAUCUGGUCCAGUAAGAAUCAGCUUACUUAAUCCUAAUUAAAGGAUUGGUUUAUGUCUAAUAAGACAACAAAUUAUUUCCAUCCUAAUUGAAGGAUUGGUUUAUGUCUAAUAAAACAACAGAUUAUUUCCAUCCUAAUUGAAGGAUUGGCUUAUGUCUAAUAAGACAACAAAUUAUUUCCAUCCUAAUUAAAGGAUUGAUUUUGACUAGUUCCUAAUUGAAGGACUGGAUUAUCCUAAUUAAAGGAUUGAUUGAUGAUGUAUAAUGAGACAGUAAAUUUCCGUCCAAAUACAUGGACUAAUUGGCAAUGUCUUAUAGACUUUAAUUAUUUUCUUGACAGAAAUGGCUCCUCUUGACCAGAAUUAUGAUCCUAAUUCGGAUCCGAUUAAGGGAAAAGGUAAAAGAUCUUCUCCUUCUCCCGAAUUAGGGGAAUUCUCUCCUCUCUUAAAAGAGAGUAAAAGAAAAACCUCAAUAGGGGAUAAUAAUACCAGAUCAUUUCUGAAGAAUUCCAAUGAAUUAAUUUUUGAAUUAAUUGAUGAUGAUAUGAUGUGGCUAUACACGCCUAUCUAUCGUGGUUCAGGAAAUUUUGACCAAGGGACUAAUAGCCCAUCCCAAAUUCAUAAACGUAGAAAUUUUUACGAAUCUAUUUUAAUUGAGACCAAUUCAGUCUCUUUUACCACGGUUAACAACCGUUUUUCUAAACCUUUUCGAAGAGCUGUUAUCCUUAAAAUAAUGGAACAAUACGAAUGGGGUGAACCUUUUACUACCAAAGACCUAAUUGGUCUCGUUUCCCUUUUUAAUAGCCUCCAGACUUUUAAUUACUGGGGCUAUAUUGAUGCAUGGACUUACACCUUCUUCCAUCAAAUUCCCCAAAAAGAUUAUUUCUGGAUUUUUUCCUUUUCCCCUAAUUUUAUAGAUAGAAUUCCCACCUGGUUCCAUAACUGGUGGUUUAAAUUUGACCCAGCCAUGAACUAUGUUGCCACCGAGUUAACAAUUCUGAAUUACAAUUUUGUAUUAAAAUCCAAUAGUCAGAUAGAAUUGACAACCCCUCAUACUCCUCUUUCGUGGCAAAUUAUGGAGAACGAAUCCAGUUUCGAUCAUCUUUUCCAGAAUUUUGGAAUAUAGCAUUCCAGGACUCUUUUAACAGAUCCCAUAUCAAGGGGACUACAAAACAGACAGAGACAAUGUAUCUACCCAAUAUUCACAGGACAAUGUAUCUGCUCAAUUAUCAGACUCCGAGACAGAAGAUGGAGUCCACAUAACAGGUUAAUCAGCCAACUAUGGGGUCUACAACACCCACGAGACAACAGGUUACUCUACCGACAAUAACGGGCCUACUAUUCACUGGGGUCCACACAUCACAUAAUGCUUACAUGGGGACCACCCACUCACAAGGUGCCUAAUGGGACCCAUCCACUAAGAAGAUGCUCAAUGGGGCCCACACAUCACAAGGUGCCUAAUGGGGCCCACCCACUAGCAAGAUGCCCAAUGGGGCCCACUUCCCACUCUCAACUUGCCUGUAUAAGGAGGCAUUUGUAAUGAAGGAAAACAAGCUUCGAAUGCGCUCAUUGAUCAUCUUUUUCAGAUUUUCUAAACUAUUACCGCCGGAGACUAUAGGUAGUCCAACGCGACGAAGUCAAGACUAAUCAUGAAUCAAAACAUAAAAUAAUUAUUAGUCGGAGACUACAAGUAGUCCAACGCGACGAAGUUAAAUGAUUAAUCAUAAAUCUUAACCAGAGUAUAGAUAAUAUUACUAACAAGUUAUCAAGCAAUAGAGGUCGAUUUACACGUGAGUGCACAGACCCUCAUUACUGCUACUGUCAGAGGCUAUCAAUAAUAGCUUGACAAUUGAUUCCCCAUAUAAAUGGGUUGCAGUACUCCAAAGGAGUUGCUUCAUUGUCGGUCCUUGUUUAGGAAUAUUAUCCAUUUCUCAGUUAGGGGUGUUAUUCGAGCCGAGCGAGCCGAGCUUUGAAUGCUCAUACUCGGCUCGUUUUAAUACGAGCCGAGCCCGAGCCGAGCCCAAUUUCUGAAUCGAGCCUGGUUUUAUGUUCAAGCUCGGCUCGCGAGCAAUUUAUCAAGCUCGAGCUCGAGCUCGUUAGGCUCGUUUAGAGAAUGAUCUUCGAGAUCUUGUUAUACAGAAAAGAAAUUCAUUUAAUCAGAGUCUUAAUAAGUUUAUAGAAGAUGAAGAAGAACAAGAUCUAAAGAAGAAUUUCAAGUUUUUGUCGAUGAAUGGAUUGUUUUCAAGUUCUAGGUUGGAUGAAUUAGUUGAAGAAGAGUAUGUUGGUGGUGGAAUUGGAAGUAAUGGUGGUAAAUGUAAUGGUGGUAGGGGUGAUGGGUUUUCUGAUUUUAACAAUGGGAAUGAUGAGACUGAUGCUUAUUAUCAGAAAAUGAUUGAAUCUAAUCCUGGAAAUGGUCUACUUCCUGGGAAUUAUGCAAAAUUCUUAAAAGAGGUAAAAAUCCCAUGUUUAGAAUCUCAAUUUCAAGAGGAAUUAUUUGGUAAUUUGUAUCUAGAGCAGAGAAAUACUAUGAUCAAGCUGUUCAAGCUGAACCAAAUGAUUGGUAAGAAUUCAUCAAGCUUCUUGUUUUAAUUGCUGAUUUUGGUAACAACCCAAAUAUACUUCCUAAUGAAUAAUGAUGGUUUGUUCAAUUAAUACUUCAAUGCUUGCAGCUAUGUUAUGGCUUCAUAUGCUCGAUUUCUAUGGGAUGCUGAAGAAGAUGAAGAAGAAGAGGCCAAGGAGAGAGAGAAUGAAGAGAAUUGCAAGAAUGUAAGGAGGUC